UUAAUUUUACCCCUCUACUCCUAAUGAACACAUUGCAUUGUGAUUGUAUGCUUGAUUAGGUAAGCAAUAAAUCUCUUUCACUCACAAAAAGGUAGAAAUUGCAAUGCGGCCAUCCCAGCAUAUCAAAACAUUUCUGGUUGUGGCGAUGACCUUUUUUCCCAUAUGAUCCUAGAAAAUGGAUCGGGUUCCACUAUCAAGGGAUAACGAAACAACAAAUGCACAAAAAACAUCCCAGUGCAAGAACAUAGCCUAAAACUGGUUUCAACUGCUAACAACAAAAGCUAAUGGAUCCAAAUCUACUGCAAGUUGACUUGGGGUUCACAAUCAUCCCAAGCAAAAUGUUUUCGAUCACUAGCAUCAUCAUUCAGAAAACUCCAUUGCAUCGUUCCUCGUCCAGUAUUUCUCCAUUAGUUCACCUUCACCCACUUCUUGCUCCUCAUUUUCUCCAGCAUUACUCGCCUCGAUCCUCAACACAAGAUUUCUUGGCUCCGUGCGCCCACCAACAUGAUGUGCCAAUGCUUCUCGCUUCAAAGCAACAACACCUUGUUCCAGAAUCGCACACUCUUCAUUAUUUUGUAGAUUUGCCCAAUAAAGGAUAAACAUGCAUGCAUAACAAACGAAUUCAGCAAGAGAUCUAGUAAUUUUUUUCUCAAAACAAUAUCUAUUACAUAACUUGGAUGGGAAUGUAGUGGCUUAUCGUGAAGGUGAUGCACUCAUGGACUUGUAGUAGAGCUGGUAGCUGCCACAACAGCUUCCCUAUAUGUGGGUGGCCUUGAGGCAGGCGUCGCAGAGGGGCAUCUCUCCUCCAUCUCCUAUUAGGUCACAUCUGUGGAGUCCCUCGGUGUCUACCAUGACGUUGCUAUCAGGUCCCAUGGCUAUGGCUACUUUCAAGUUCCACUCACAGAUUGAUGAUGAGAUCUGAUCUAUUAGAUCCCAAAAUACCUAAAGCAUUAUAUCUCUGUGAGCAUGCAUGCUAAAGGUAGCAGAUCAAACCCAAACAAACAAGUAAAAAAGACCAAGACACUCACCGUCCUCUUGGGGUGGAAAUUGAUGUAGUCAUAGCCACACGACCUGUAAGCAAAUUUGUGGCAGAUGCGCAAGGAAGCCACGGGAGCGACCUGGUCAUCGAUCUAGAAGAGUUGGCCCUCCGUAACACCUGUCUCUUGGUCAUCAUUGAGGCCAGGAAUGGCUGGUUUGUCAUUGCUACCGAUGGUCGCCAAACCAAUGGAUCUAGGAGGUGGCGACGUCAUCAGAGCCAGGGUGGAACGCUUGCCAUUGGUAGUCGUUGUUCACUAACCCGAGGAGUGAAGAUUACUAUACUAUGGGUAACCGGCUGGUCUAGUUGUAUCGACUAUAUAUUGAGUCCUCUCUUAUCGACAUCGAGUCCUCUUGUCCGCCGGAUGCUCUCUCCGGUAUGCUUUUGUAUAGGUGCUAAUUAAUGAAAUUUAUUUGCUACCUUUUAGAUAGGCUUCAGGUGUAAUUGUUAGAGACGCGUAUUUUUUGUGUAUCUGCAUGCUGGAGAGUUGCGGCAAUUGGGUCCACAUUCUAGUCUAUAUGCGUGUGAUGGGCUGCUGCAUGUAGGUAGAUAUGGACUACAAAGUUCUUCUAUCUAUUUAGUGCGAUAUCACUACUAAUUAAUGUUUGAGAUAGAGUAGAUAUCACUACAAAUUAAUGUUUGAGAUAGAUUAGAUCAACUUUUACCACAUCGUGGUCAAUGAUCGUUGACUCGUGAGGGGUCCCUCGCCGCCUUUCUUGGUCAAGGCAUCUCCAACACCGACCCUCAAGCCUCCUGCAUCCGCCCGGACAGUGAAAGCUAUCCAACGUGCUCCUGUAUCGGUACGAGGCGCGGUCCAGAUGUAUACUUUCUCCUGCAAAUGGGAGACAAACGUGGGGAGUGGGAGGGGGGCUUUGCGGGAGUCUGCACCGCUCCCACGCCCGCUUCUGACCACCCUGGCCCGCCCAAACCUCCUUCUGCAUCCCGCGCGCUUCCCGCCCGACGCCAACUGCCCACAUUCACGCCGCUGUAGAGCGCGGCGCCCCACAUAUUGAAGCGGCGCACCCCCCGAUGACGCCGGCCACUGCACGCCCGACUGAACACGUCUCCAUUAAACCCGUGUGAAAGCUGAGGAACCUACUCCAGCCACACGUUCGUUCACGAGCGGGCCGACAUUAAAUGCAACGCCGGGAAAGCUCCUCCCAUGUGCCCUCUAUUUAAACAAGGCCAGACGUCGGGCAAGAAACGCACCACUCCGCCGCUCCCCAUCUCAUCCUUCCACAAUUUUCUUCGCCCUUUUGAUGGCAUCCGGUGAGCACUAAGAGCAUUUCCCCCGCAUAAAAGCCAGCUAGGUGUCCCACCGAGCCCGCCGAAUACGAGUGAUGCCGCUCACUGCUCCACCUCCCUCGUCUGGCCCGACGGAGCAAGUUGCCACCCCAAACUGACGCAUGGUUCACCACCUCGCCGCUCCAAGCCAGCUCACAAGGGAGCGGCCAUUUGCUCUAGGACGACACGACGACAUAGGCAUCGUAGCACCCAUGGUGACGCUGCGUCAUACUGCGUCUCUGAUGCCUAGGACCGUGCCAUCCGCCAGCAACGCGUGUGUAGCCGUGCGCUGCUGGCAGAGAAAGAAGCUGGCAGCAUAGAGAUCGAUGAGUCGGUGGAUGGCACGUCCACGUCCGCCGCCAACAUCGAGGGAAAGUAGAACACGGAGUAUAGCUGAUGACCUGUCCGGUUCUUCUUUAUCUCAGACCAUCAUUGGCCCCGCCUAGGCUCCACGAAAGCGGAGCCCCCCCUUCCCUCCAGCUGAAGCACCCUCUUUGCCACCGCGAUGAGUGGCGCGACCAAACAUAGGGAAGAUACGAGGGAAGAAUAUACCUCUGGGGCUCCCGACAGUCCGGGUAGUGGGCUGCCGGACAUGGAGAAGACAAAGGGAUCCUUCGCGUCCAGCCGUAGACUAGUGUAGUGUUUCUGUGUCGUGGGAGUGGAGCUCCACGCGACUGUAUGUGCACAUAGUUUUAUCUUUUUUGUUAAAAAUAUGUCCAAAUUGUAACUGUUUUCGUCCAGUUUGAAUGAAAUCCAUCAUGUUUAUAUGAAAUCCACCCAUGUUUGCAUGAAUUUCAUCCGGUUUGCUGAAAAAAUGUUUGCAAUGUAUGCGGCUACGAUUGGAUAGCGGCCUCCCGCAUCCGUUUGCUGGCUGCUAUUGGAGAUGCCCUCAAGCCAGCGUUUGGGCGGGUGUAAGGUGUCCCAUCAUCGGUACAGACAAAGUAUUGUAGGAUUUCUGAUCAAUAGAACUGGAAAGUCUCCGGGUGUGGAAACAUCCUCAUAAUCUUUACUACUCCAUCAUGAUUUAUAUGCCUCGCACAUAUUUCAAUAUAAACAUUGAAAAUUAAUUUAUUCAACAAAAUAUUAGUUAUAUGUCACAAAAACAAAACGUUAGAUUCACAUUCUAAACAAGUUUCCAAUGGUAUAGUUUUUGUGACAUAUAACUCAUAUUUUAUUGAUAAAUCAACGUACAUUUUUUUAUUGAAAUGCUUAAGACUUAUGAAUCAUGUUAGAGGUUAGACUCCACGAAUGACGAAAUUUAUCCCCAAGGUAUCUCUGACAAAAUUGUUACUCUAAUGUCACUUAUCAACAUGUGAUCCAAGUCAUAGCAAUAUCCAACCAAUAAUCCAAUGAAUAACGUAAUCAUAUCAUUUCCACUUACUCCGUAAGCAAUAAUAUCAAAUAUGAUCAUAUGAAAAUAUAGCUAAUGACCCUACUAAUCCGAUGGUAACAUGCCAAUAUCCAACUUGUAAACUACUCUACUAGUCACAAGAAAUCCAAGCAAUAACACGGCAAGAGAUAAUUCUAAUAAUUCCUCCAAGAUUGCCAUGAAUAAAUCAUCAUCAAGUAAUUCAAAAUAAAUCGAGUUUUAUUAUAUUAACCAUGGAAUUUCAUUGCAAUUAUGCAAGUGGAGGUUGUGGCUUGCCUUGCUCCAAGCGAGUGUUGCGAGUACUCUUGGUCUUCAUCAAACAGUGCUAACACUCUGGAAAACAAUAUUAACAAGCAAAAUAAAUUCUCUAUCUAGAAAUUCUAGACAACAAAGAAAAGUGUGAAACUCUACCAGAAAAUAAAGGAGCUCACAAGAGAAAAAAAUGCAAAAAGAAUCAACUCAUUUGGACUUGUAGUUUAGGAGCAAUGGAUGGUGAAAGUUGUGGUCAAACUGGAUUAAAAUAGCGUUAAAAUGGAUUUUCUGGAAUCUCCAUGGGCCGACGUCGAAGACUUAAACAAGGAAUACACUUUGACUUAAAUAUUUGGAUAUAUCUUCAAACAUGAUAUUUAAGAAUAGGAGAUUAAAUUGAAGAAGCCAUUGUUAACAAUGACAAAAGCAACAUGUGGGCAUGGAUCAAAACAAGGGAUAUUUACUUUGACAGUCUAAAAUUUGUGAUGUAUCUUGAGUCCAAACUGUAACGACUCUCAUGUUUAACGACGAUUGAGGUGUUUGGAAGUAUUGUUUGAAUACAUCCUCAAACAUAAUAUUUUUUAAAAAUUAAGUGAACAAAACAAAAAAAAUAUUGUGUGGGUUGGGGUGAAGUGUGUGUGGGGGAGGGGGUGGGGGGUGGGGGGGAUUAUUAUCGGAUAGUAUAUUUCACCUAAUUUUGUAACGCAAGCAUCCUGGUCAAUAUGUCCUCAAGAUACAUUCACACCUUUCCCCUCCCGGGCCGCUCGCGCGGGCGGCUCCGGAAGAAAAAACCUAGAUCCAAGCGCCCCUCCUCCCGAAGACAUCCUGGCCGCCGCCGUCGCCGCCGGCGGCGGUGGCGGCGCCCGGCUGCCAAAGGCAGCGGGCAAGAUCUGCACGCCCUGACAUGGCUCCUUCGCGCGGGCGAGCACCGUCUUGUGGGCGUCGUGACCGCUGGCGGUUCUGGUGCGGUGGCGCGCGGCAGAGAGCACUGGAGGAGGAGGAGCACGGUCGCGAGGUGGAGAGGGGUGGCGGUCUUCCUCGGGCGCCGGCGUGUGUGUCGGAGGCCGCGGCGCGGGGUCCCUGGCGGCUGCAGAUCUUGGAAUGGAGUGGUGACCGGGCGCGGCGGCCGGGAGUUGCGGUGGUGUCCGGGGCGUGCGGUGUGCUUCCUGCCGGCGCUAGAGUGGCUCGGGGAAGGCAGCGCCUUGGAUUGCUAGUGGCAGGGAUGUAGCUGGCAUGUAGGCAUUGGGGUCAAUUGACCCCAAUGGAUUUACUAAAUCCUUCAUUAUCUUAGUACUAAUCACUGUUGAUUUAUAGAAGAUGACCCCAUUGCCAUGGAUAUGACCCCAUCAAGCUUUUUUCUAGCUUCGUCCCUGGCUGGUGGUGGCGCGGUCAGGAUCUGGCCAGAGCUCGGUUCAGGAAAUCGCAAAGGGAGCACCUUGGUGGUGCGUGCGUUCGCUGGAGGCGCAGUGCGCUGGCUCCUCCCGUCCGUGCCCCUGGUCGCAGCGGCUUGGCUGGCUGCCAGAGUGGUUUGGCCAGCCCACGCCUGUGGUGCCGGCGGGUCUUGGCAGCGCCAGGGAGGGUGGCUUGGAGCUGGUGACGUUUGUCUUUCGACCGUGCAGGAGCUGGAGGUUGGCCGGCGUGGUCUCGGCUGUGUGAUGGGUCGGUGUUCCGCGACGGUUUUGGCCAUGAUGGCAAGGCGCUGCUGCAACGACGGUGUAACCCUGACAGAUUAGCCCAAUCCUUGGAUAGGGGUGGGAGGUGUGCGACUGUUGGAUGAAAAUCCUGCUCGUGUCUUCGGCCGGAGCUGGCGGCGACGGUGCCUGAGGGAGUCGUUUCCCUCCUUGGAGGUGUCGCUGAGGUGUGUCGGCAUCUCCCCUUCUUGAUCGGGAUGUGGUCUCCAGGCGAAAGCCUUGGUCUAUUGUAGGACUGGCGAUGGCGACGGUAUAACGUCGUUACUCUAUUGAGAGCAUCGUAGGCGGAGACUUGGCUUGCUGAUUCUGUCUGGUGGUUCUCCGGUGCUUGCCGCUGGUUCGAGUCGAUCUUUGUGGGCGCUAUGUACGUAGCCGCCGGUGAACUGAAGACGAUGGCUUUCUCGGGACCGACCGAGUCCCGCUACCCACCCGCCGUCUCCUCUUAGGCAUUCAAAGGUGGUAGUGCGUGUUGGAAAUAUGCCCUAGAGGCAAUAAUAAAAGGGUUAUUAUUAUAUUUCCUUGUUCAUGAUAAUUGUCUUUUAUUCAUGCUAUAACUGUAUUAUCCGGAAAUCGUAAUACACAUGUGAAUACAUAGACCAUAACAUGUCCCUAGUGAGCCUCUAGUUGACUAGCUCGUUGGUCAACAGAUAGUCAUGGUUUCUGACUAUGGACAUUAGAUGUCAUUGACAACGGGAUCACAUCAUUAGGAGAAUGAUGUGAUGGACGAGACCCAAUCCUAAGCAUAGCACAAGAUCGUGUAGUUAGUUUUGCUAGAGCUUUUCCAAUGUCAAGUAUCUCUUCCUUAGACCAUGAGAUCGUGUAACUCCCGGAUACAGUAAGAGUGCUUUGGGUGUACCAAACGUCACAACGUAACUGGGUGACUAUAAAGGUGCACUACAGGUAUCUCCGAAAGUGUCUGUUGGGUUGACAUGGAUCGAGACUGGGAUUUGUCACUCCGUAUGACGGAGAGGUAUCUCUGGGCCCACUCGGUAAUGCAUCAUCACAAUGAGCUCAAAGUGACCAAGUGUUUGGUCACGGGAUCAUGCAUUACGAUACGAGUAAAGUGACUUGCCGGUAACGAGACUGAACGAGGUAUUGGGAUACCGACGAUCGAGUCUCGGGCAUGUAACGUACCGAAUGAGAAAGGGAAUUGUAUACGGGGUUGUUCUAAUCCUCGACAUCGUGGUUCAUCCGAUGAGAUCAUCGAGCAGCAUGUGGGAGCCAACAUGGGUAUCCAGAUCCCGCUGUUGGUUAUUGCCCGAGAGCCGUCUCGGUCAUGACUACGUGUCUCCCGAACCCGUAGGGUCUACACACUUAAGGUUCGGUGACGCUAGGGUUGUAUGAAUAUGAGUAUGCAGUAUACCGAAUGUUGUUUGGAGUCCCGUAUGAGAUCCCGGACGUCACGAGGAGUUUCGGAAUGGUCCGGAGGUAAAGAAUUAUAUAUAGGAAGUGGUAUUUCGGCCAUCGGGAAAGUUUCGGGGUCACCCGGUAUUGUACCGGGACCACCGGAAGGGUCCCGGGGGUCCACCGGGUGGGGCCACCCAUCCCGGAGGGCCCCAUGGGCUGAAGUGGGAGGGGAGCCAGCCCAUAGUGGGCUGGUGCGCCCCCCUAGGCCCACCCCCUGCGCCUAGGGUUGAAACCCUAGGGUGGGGGGCGCACCACAUGCCUUGGGGGGCACUCCUCCCCCCUUGGCCGCCGCCCCCUUGGGAGAUUGAAUCUCCCAGGGCCGGCGCCCCCCCUUGGGGGCCUAUAUAAAGGGAGGGGGGAGAGGGGCAGCCGCACCCUGAAGUCCUGGCGCCCCCUCCCCCUGCUACACCUCUUCCUCCUCCGUCACGUGCUUGGCGAAGCCCUGCCGGACUGCUGCUGUUCCACCACCACCACGCCGUUGUGCUGCUGCUGGAGCCAUCAUCAUCAACCUCUCCUCCCCCCUUGCUGGAUCAAGAAGGAGGAGACGUCACACGCACCGUACGUGUGUUGAACGCGGAGGUGCCGUCCGUUCGGCGCUAGGAUCUCCGGUGAUCUGAAUCACGGCGAGUACGACUCCAUCAUCACCGCUCCCUCUAACACUUCCGUAUGGGAUCUACAAGUGGUAUGUAGAUGCAAACUCACUCCCUUGACUCAUUGCUUAGAUGAACUCAUAGAUGGAUCUUGGUGAAACCGUAGGAAAAUUUUUAAUUUUCUGCAACGUUCCCCAACAGUGGCAUCAUGAGCUAGGUCUAUGCGUAGUUCUCUAUUGCACGAGUAGAACACAAUUUUGUUGUGGGCGUAGAUCUUGUCAACUUGCUUGCCGCUACUAGUCUUAUCUUGCUUUAGCGGUAUUGUGGGAUGAAGCGGCCCGGACCAACCUUACACGUACGCUUACGUGAGACCGGUUCCACCGACUAACAUGCACUAGUUGCAUAAGGUGGCUGGCGGGUGUCUGUCUCUCCCACUUUAGUUGGAGCGGAUUCGAUGAAAAGGGUCCUUAUGAAGGGUAAAUAGAAGUUGACAAAAUCACGUUGUGGUUAUUCGUAGGUAAGAAAACGUUCUUGCUAGAACCCAAUUGCAGCGACGUGAAAGAUGCAACAACAAUUAGAGGACGUCUAACUUGUUUUUGCAGCAAUUGUCAUGUGAUGUGAUAUGGCCAGAAGUUGUGAUGAAUGAUGAAUGAUAUAUUGUGAUGUAUGAGAUCAUGUUCUUGUAAUAGGAAUCACGACUUGCAUGUCGAUGAGUAUGAAAACCGGCAGGAGCCAUAGGAGUUGUCUUUAUUUUUGUAUGACCUGCGUGUCAUUGAAGAAUGCCAUGUAAACUACUUUACUUUAUUGCUAAACGCGUUAGUCAUAGAAGUAGAAGUAGUCGUUGGCGUGACAACUUCAUGAAGACAUGAUGAUGGAGAUCAUGAUGAUGGAGAUCAUGGUGUCAUGCCGGUGACAAGAUGAUCAUGGAGCCCCGAAGAUGAAGAUCAAAGGAGCUAUAUGAUAUUGGCCAUAUCAUGUCACUACUUUAUAUAAUUGCAUGUGAUGUUUAUUAUGUUUUAUGCAUCUUGUUUACUUAGAACGACGGUAGUAAAUAAGAUGAUCCCUUGCAACAAUUUCAAGAAGUGUUCUCCCCUAACUGUGCACCGUUGCUAAAGUUCGUCGUUUCGAAGCACCACGUGAUGAUCGGGUGUGAUAGAUCCUUACGUUCACAUACAACGGGUGUAAGACAGUUUUACACAUGCAAAACACUUAGGGUUAACUUGACGAGCCUAGCAUGUACAGACAUGGCCUCGGAACACGGAGACCGAAAGGUCGAACACGAGUCGUAUGGAAGAUACGAUCAACAUGAGAAUGUUCACUGACGAUGACUAGUCCGUCUCACGUGAUGAUCGGACACGGCCUAGUCAACUCGGAUCGUGUAACACUUAGAUGACUGAGGGGAUGUCAAAUCUGAGUGGGAGUUCAUUAAAUAAUUUGAUUGGAUGAACUUAAUUAUCAUGAACUUAGUCUAAAAUCUUUGCAAAAUAUGUCUUGUAGAUCAAAUGGCCAACGCUCAUGUCAACAUGAACUUCAACGCGUUCCUAGAGAAAACCAAGCUGAAAGAUGAUGGCAGCAACUAUACGGACUGGGUCCGGAACCUUAGGAUCAUCCUCAUAGCUGCCAAGAAAGCAUAUGUCCUUGAAGCACCAUUAGGUGACCCACCUACUCUCCCAGCACUGCAAGACGAUUUGAACGUUUGGCAGACACGUGCUGAUGAUUACUCCCUCGUUCAGUGCGGCAUGCUUUACAGCUUAGAACCGGGGCUCCAAAAGCUUUUUGAGCAACACGGGGCAUAUGAGAUGUUCGAGGAGCUGAAACUAGUUUUCCAAGCUCAUGCCCGGGUCGAGAGAUAUGAAGUCUCCAACAAGUUCUAUAGUUGUAAGAUGGAGGAAAACAGUUCUGUCAGUGAGCAUAUACUCAAAAUGUCUGGGUUGCACAGCCGCCUGUCCCAGCUGGACAUUAACCUCCUGGAUGAGGCGGUCAUUGACAGAAUCCUUCAGUCGCUCCCACCAAGCUACAAGAGCUUUGUGAUGAACUAUAAUAUGCAGGGGAUGGUGAAGACCAUUCCUGAAGUAUUUUCAAUGCUGAAGUCGGCAGAGGUUGAAAUCAAGAAAGAACAUCAAGUGUUGAUGGUUAAUAAGACCACUAAGUUCAAGAAGGGCAAGGGUAAGAAGAACUUCAAGAAGGACGGCAAAGAUGUUGCCGCGCCCGGUAAGCCAGUUGCCGGGAAGAAGUCAAAGAAUGGACCCAAGCCUGAGACUGAGUGCUUUUAUUGCAAGGGGAAGGGUCACUGGAAGCGGAACUGCCCCAAAUACUUAGCGGAUAAGAAGGCCGGCAACAGUAAAGGUAUAUUUGAUAUACAUGUAAUUGAUGUGUACCUUACCAAUACUCGUAGUAACUCCUGGGUAUUUGAUACCGGUGCCGUUGCUCAUAUUUGUAACUCAUAGCAGGAGCUGCGGAAUAAGCGGAGACUGGCGAAGGACGAGGUGACGAUGCGCGUCGGGAAUGGUUCCAAGGUCGAUGUGAUCGCCGUCGGCACACUACCUCUACAUUUACCUACGGGAUUAGUUAUAAACCUUAAUAAUUGUUAUUUGGUGCCAAGUUUGAGCAUGAACAUUGUAUCUGGAUCUCGUUUGAUACGAGAUGGAUACUCAUUUAAAUCCGAGAAUAAUGGUUGUUCUAUUUAUAUGAGAGAUAUGUUUUAUGGUCAUGCCCCUAUGGUCAAUGGUUUAUUCUUAAUGAAUCUCGAGCGUAAUGUUACACAUAUUCAUAGCGUGAAUACCAAAAGAUGUAAAGUUGAUAACGAUAGUCCCACAUACUUGUGGCACUGCCGCCUUGGUCACAUUGGUGUCAAGCGCAUGAAGAAGCUCCAUGCUGAUGGACUUUUGGAGUCUCUCGAUUAUGAAUCAUUUGACACAUGCGAACCAUGCCUCAUGGGCAAAAUGACCAAGACUCCGUUCCCCGGAACAAUGGAGCGAGCAACCAACUUGUUGGAAAUCAUACACACCGAUGUGUGCGGUCCAAUGAGUGUUGAGGCUCGCGGAGGAUAUCGUUAUGUUCUCACUCUCACUGAUGACUUGAGUAGAUAUGGGUAUGUCUACUUGAUGAAACACAAGUCUGAGACCUUUGAAAAGUUCAAGGAAUUUCAGAAUGAAGUAGAGAAUCAACGUGACCGAAAGAUAAAAUUCUUACGAUCGGAUCGUGGAGGAGAAUAUUUAAGUCACGAAUUUGGUACACACUUAAGAAAAUGUGGAAUCGUUUCACAACUCACGCCGCCUAGAACACCUCAGCGAAACGGUGUGUCCGAACGUCGUAAUCGCACUCUAUUGGAUAUGGUGCGGCCUAUGAUGUCUCUUACCGAUUUACCGCUAUCAUUUUGGGGAUACGCUCUAGAGACAGCUACAUUCACUUUAAAUAGGGCACCGUCUAAAUCCGUUGAGACGACACCGUAUGAAUUAUGGUUUGGGAAGAAACCUAAGUUGUCGUUUCUAAAAGUUCGGGGAUGCGAUGCUUAUGUCAAGAAACUUCAACCUGAAAAGCUCGAACCCAAGUCGGAAAAAUGUGUCUUCAUAGGAUACCCUAAAGAAACCAUUGGGUAUACCUUCUACUUAAGAUCCGAGGGCAAGAUCUUUGUUGCCAAGAACGGAUCCUUUCUGGAAAAAGAGUUUCUCUCGAAAGAACUAAGUGGGAGGAAAGUAGAACUCGAUGAAGUACUACCUCUUGAACAGGAUAGUAGUGCAGCUCAGGAAAAUGUUCCUGUGAUGCCUACACCAACUGAAGAGGAAAAUAAUGAUGAUGAUCAAGGUACUUCUGAUCAAGUUACUACUGAACUUCGUAGGUCCACAAGGACACGUUCCGCACCAGAGUGGUACGGCAACCCUGUCCUGGAAAUCAUGUUGUUAGACAACCGUGAACCUUCGAACUAUGAAGAAGCGAUAGCGGGCCCAGAUUCCAACAAAUGGCUUGAAGCCAUGAAAUCCGAGAUAGAAUCCAUGUAUGAAAACAAAGUAUGGACUUUGACUGACUUGCCCGAUGAUCGGCGAGCGAUAGAAAACAAAUGGAUCUUUAAGAAGAAGACGGACGCGGAUGGUAAUGUCACCAUCUAUAAAGCUCGACUUGUCGCUAAGGGUUAUCGGCAAGUUCAAGGGAUUGACUACGAUGAGACUUUCUCUCCCGUAGCGAAGCUUAAGUCCGCCCGAAUCAUGUUAGCAAUUGCCGCAUACUAUGAUUAUGAGAUAUGGCAAAUGGACGUCAAAACGACAUUCCUUAACGGUUAUCUUAAGGAAGAGCUAUAUAUGAUGCAGCCGGAAGGUUUUGUCGAUCCUAAGAACGCUAACAAAGUAUGCAAGCUCCAGCGAUCCAUUUAUGGGCUGGUGCAAGCAUCUCGGAGUUGGAACAUUCGCUUUGAUGAGAUCAUCAAAGCGUUUGGGUUUAUGCAGACUUAUGGAGAAGCCUGCGUUUACAAGAAAGUGAGUGGGAGCUCUGUAGCGUUUCUCAUAUUAUAUGUAGAUGACAUACUUUUGAUGGGAAAUGAUAUAGAUUCUUGGACAGCAUUAAGGCCUACUUGAAUAAGUGUUUUUCAAUGAAGGACCUUGGAGAAGCUGCUUACAUAUUAGGCAUCAAGAUCUAUAGGGAUAGAUCGAGACGCCUCAUAGGUCUUUCACAAAGCACAUACCUUGAUAAGAUUUUGAAUAAGUUCAAAAUGGAUCAGUCCAAGAAAGGGUUCUUGCCUGUAUUGCAAGGUGUGAGAUUGAGCUCGGCUUAAUGCCCGACCAUGGCAAAAGAUAAAGAAGAGAUGAUCGUCAUCCCCUAUGCCUCAGCCAUAGGAUCUAUUAUGUAUGCCAUGCUAUGUACCAGACCUGAUGUAAACCUUGCCGUAAGUUUGGUAGGAAGGUACCAAAGUAAUCCCGGCAAGGAACACUGGACAGCGGUCAAGAAUAUCCUGAAGUACCUGAAAAGGACAAAGGACAUGUUUCUCGUUUAUGGAGGUGAUGAAGAGCUCGUCGUAAAGGGUUACGUCGAUGCUAGCUUCGACACAGAUCUGGAUGACUCUAAGUCACAAACCGAAUACGUGUAUAUGUUGAAUGGUGGAGCAGUAAGCUGGUGCAGCUGCAAGCAGAGCGUCGUGGCGGGAUCUACAUGUGAAGCGGAGUACAUGGCAGCCUCGGAGGCAUCGCAUGAAGCUAUUUGGGUGAAGGAGUUCAUCACCGACCUAGGAGUCAUACCCAAUGCGUCGGGGCCGAUCAAACUCUUCUGUGACAACACUGGAGCUAUUGCCCUUGCCAAGGAGCCCAGGUUUCACAAGAAGACCAGGCACAUCAAGCAUCGUUUCAACUCCAUCUGAGAAAAUGUUCAAGAUGGAGACAUAGAUAUUUGCAAAGUACAUACGGAUCUGAAUGUCGUAGAUCCGUUGACUAAACCUCUCUCGCGAGCAAAACAUGAUCAACACCAGAACUCUAUGGGUGUUCGAUUCAUCACAAUGUAACUAGAUUAUUGACUCUAGUGCAAGUGGGAGACUGUUGGAAAUAUGCCCUAGAGGCAAUAAUAAAAGGGUUAUUAUUAUAUUUCCUUGUUCAUGAUAAUUGUCUUCUAUUCAUGCUAUAAAUGUAUUAUCCGGAAAUCGUAAUACACGUGUGAAUACAUAGACCAUAACAUGUCCCUAGUGAGCCUCUAGUUGACUAGCUCGUUGGUCGACAGAUAGUCAUGGUUUCUGACUAUAGACAUUAGUUGUCAUUGACAACGGGAUCACAUCAUUAGGAGAAUGAUGUGAUGGACGAGACCCAAUCCUAAGCAUAGCACAAGAUCGUGUAGUUCGUUUUGCUAGAGCUUUUCCAAUGUCAAGUAUCUCUUCCUUAGACCAUGAGAUCGUGUAACUCCCGGAUACCGUAAGAGUGCUUUGGGUGUACCAAACGUCACAACGUAACUGGGUGACUAUAAAGGUGCACUACAGGUAUCUCCAAAAGUGUCUGUUGAUGCUAGCUUCGACACAGAUCUGGAUGACUCUAAGUCACAAACCGAAUACGUGUAUAUGUUGAAUGGUGGAGCAGUAAGCUGGUGCAGCUGCAAGCAGAGCGUCGUGGCGGGAUCUACAUGUGAAGCGGAGUACAUGGCAGCCUCGGAGGCAUCGCAUGAAGCUAUUUGGGUGAAGGAGUUCAUCACCGACCUAGGAGUCAUACCCAAUGCGUCAGGGCCGAUCAAACUCUUCUGUGACAACACUGGAGCUAUUGCCCUUGCCAAGGAGCCCAGGUUUCACAAGAAGACCAGGCACAUCAAGCAUCGUUUCAACUCCAUCUGAGAAAAUGUUCAAGAUGGAGACAUAGAUAUUUGCAAAGUACAUACGGAUCUGAAUGUCGUAGAUCCGUUGACUAAACCUCUCUCGCGAGCAAAACAUGAUCAACACCAGAACUCUAUGGGUGUUCGAUUCAUCACAAUGUAACUAGAUUAUUGACUCUAGUGCAAGUGGGAGACUGUUGGAAAUAUGCCCUAGAGGCAAUAAUAAAAGGGUUAUUAUUAUAUUUCCUUGUUCAUGAUAAUUGUCUUCUAUUCAUGCUAUAACUGUAUUAUCCGGAAAUCGUAAUACACGUGUGAAUACAUAGACCAUAACAUGUCCCUAGUGAGCCUCUAGUUGACUAGCUCAUUGGUCGACAGAUAGUCAUGGUUUCUGACUAUAGACAUUAGUUGUCAUUGACAACGGGAUCACAUCAUUAGGAGAAUGAUGUGAUGGACGAGACCCAAUCCUAAGCAUAGCACAAGAUCGUGUAGUUCGUUUUGCUAGAGCUUUUCCAAUGUCAAGUAUCUCUUCCUUAGACCAUGAGAUCGUGUAACUCCCGGAUACCGUAAGAGUGCUUUGGGUGUACCAAACGUCACAACGUAACUGGGUGACUAUAAAGGUGCACUACAGGUAUCUCCGAAAGUGUCUGUUGGGUUGACACGGAUCGAGACUGGGAUUUGUCACUCUGUAUGACGGAGAGGUAUCUCUGGGCCCACUCGGUAAUGCAUCAUCACAAUGAGCUCAAAGUGACCAAGUGUUUGUUCACGGGAUCAUGCAUUACGGUACGAGUAAAGUGACUUGCCGGUAACGAGACUGAACGAGGUAUUGGGAUACCGACGAUCGAGUCUCGGGCAUGUAACGUACCGAAUGACAAAGGGAAUUGUAUACGGGGUUUUUCUAAUCCUUGACAUCGUGGUUCAUCCGAUGAGAUCAUCGAGGAGCAUGUGGGAGAAAACAUGGGUAUCCAGAUCCCGCUGUUGGUUAUUGCCCGAGAGCCGUCUCGGUCAUCACUUCGUGUCUCCCGAACCCGUAGGGUCUACACACUUAAGGUUCGGUGAUGCUAGGGUUGUAUGAAUAUGAGUAUGCAGUAUACCGAAUGUUGUUCGGAGUCCCAGAUGAGAUCCCGGAUGUCACGAGGAGUUUCGGAAUGGUCCGGAGGUAAAGAAUUAUAUAUAGGAAGUGGUAUUUCGGCCAUCGGAAAAGUUUCGGGGUCACCCGGUAUUGUACCGGGACCACCGGAAGGGUCCCGGGGGUCCACCGGGUGGGGCCACCCAUCCUGGAGGGCCCCAUGGGCUGAUGUGGGAGGGGAGCCAGCCCAUAGUGGGCUGGUGCGCCCCCCUAGGCCCAUCCCCUGCGCCUAGGGUUGAAACCCUAGGGUGGGGGGGGGCACCACAUGCCUUGGGGGGCACUCCUCCCCCCUUGGCCGCCGCCCCCUUGGGAGAUUGAAUCUCCCAGGGCCGGCGCCCCCCCUUGGGGGCCUAUAUAAAGGGAGGGGGAGAGGGGCAGCCGCACCCUGAAGUCCUGGCGCCCCCUCCCCCUGCUACACCUCUUCCUCCUCUGUCACGUGCUUGGCGAAGCCCUGCCGGAGUGCUGCUGUUCCACCACCACCACGCCGUUGUGCUGCUGCUGGAGCCAUCAUCAUCAACCUCUCCUCCCCCCUUGCUGGAUCAAGAAGGAGGAGACGUCACACGCACCGUACGUGUGUUGAACGCGAAGGUGCCGUCCGUUCGGCGCUAGGAUCUCCGGUGAUCUGAAUCACGGCGAGUACGACUCCAUCAUCACCGCUCCCUCUAACGCGUCCGUACGCGAUCUACAAGUGGUAUGUAGAUGCAAACUCACUCUCUUGACUCGUUGCUUAGAUGAACUCAUAGAUGGAUCUUGGUGAAACCGUAGGAAAAAUUUUAAUUUUCUGCAACGUUCCCCAACAGUGCGUUGGCAAGGAAAAUCCGGUUGGAGUUGUUGCUUUUCGAGGUGACCGGUGUUUGUGGUGACGUGACUAGAUGAUUGGUUUAGGGCAGACCCUUUUGCUUGUGUUUGUAACUGUCGUGGUGGCUAAUCUGUUGAUUAGCUUCGGUGUGGAGUUGUGCUACACUUGUUGUUCGCAGCAAGAUGUAGUUUCUUGUACUUGAUUUCUGCCUUCUAUAAAAAUAUGGUACGCCUAGGCGUACUCUCGAAAAAAAAUAUGUCCUCAAGAUUAGAUCAAGUUACAUAAUCAUGUUGAAGUUAAAUCAUCUUGUUGAAUUAAAAAAUGAUAAUAUUUUUUGAUGUAUGUUGAAUCAAACCUCACUCAAAACGGUGGAGAACAGUUGAAUUGUUGAGAUAUGUGAAUAAUUAUUCCAACUAUAUUUGAAAAUCCAGCAAAUAAUAUGGAGCACUGGUAGAAAAAGAGGCUUCCGUCUAGCCCCAUUAGUCGCGAAACUGUAGGAACCGCGACUAAUGAAGUCUUUAGUCGCGGUUCGGCAGACGAACCGCGACCAAAGUCUUGGGCCAGGGCGCUCGGUGGCCAGCUGGUGCACGUGAGGGGCUUUAGUCGCGGUUGGGCAGGCCAACCGCGACUAAAGGUGCCCAAAGGCCUUUAGUCGCGGUUGGCCUGGCCAACCGCGACUAAAGCUCCUCCCCUAUAUAUACCAGUUCAGCGCACUCACUUAGCCAUUUGGUGCCACUUCUCUUCACAAGGGGGUGUAGGUUUGCUUUUGGUUCCUCUUAUGCACACAAGGUGUUUGAUGAAAUGCCCAACAGCGUGAAACAAACAUGAUAUGAAGUGUUGGAGCCACACUUGAGGUUCCUCCUCGAUCGCGGUUAGCAACUUGAACCUUUCAUGCAUGUGUGUCAUUGAUAAAAUAUGCAUGUGUGUUGUUCAUUGUUUAAUUUCUAUUGUUUAUAGCUAGUUACUUUAACAAAUGCAUGAUGGUUAAUUAUAUAUUUUAUAUUAUAAUAAUGCAGAUGAAUCGGCAAUGGAUGUACGGUAACCGACUCUCCCGCGAGUUCACUACGGGUUUGAAAGAUUUCCUCGUAGUGGCUAAUGCGAACAAGCAGAAGGGUUUUGUUAUCUGUCCUUGUGUUGACUGUAAGAAUCAGAAGGGUUACUCUUCCUCAAGAGAAGUUCACCUGCACCUGCUUCGGCACGGUUUCAUGCCAAGCUAUAAUUGUUGGACCAAGCAUGGAGAAAGAGGGGUUAUAAUGGAAGAAGAUGAAGAAGGGGAUGAUUUCAUCGAUGAAAGCUAUCUUGCUCAUUUCGGUGAUACUUUCAUGGAGGAUGCUGAAGGUGAAGGGGAAGGUGAAGGGGCAGGUGAAGGGGAAGGUGAAGGGGAAGGUGAAGGUGAAGGUGAAGAAGAGGCACGUGAUGAGACCGUUGAUGAUCUUGGUCGGACCAUUGCUGAUGCACGGAGACGCUGCGAAACUGAAAAGGAGAGGGAGAAUUUGGAUCGCAUGUUAGAGGAUCACAGAAAGUCGUUGUACCCUGGAUGCGAUGAUGGUCUGAAAAAGCUGGGCUGCACACUGGAUUUGCUGAAAUGGAAGGCACAGGCAGGUGUAGCUGACUCGGCAUUUGAAAACUUGCUGAAAAUGUUGAAGAAUAUGUUUCCAAAGAAUAACGAGUUGCCCGCCAGUAUGUACGAAGCAAAGAAGGUUGUCUGCCCUCUAGGUUUAGAGGUUUUGAAGAUACAUGCAUGCAUCAACGACUGCAUCCUCUACCCGCGGUGAAUACGAGAAUUUGAAUGAAUGCCCGGUAUGCACUGCAUUGCGUUAUAAGAUCAGAGGCGAUGACCCUGGUGACGAUGUUGAGGGCGGGAAACCCAGGAAGAGGGUUCCCGCCAAGGUGAUGUGGUAUACUCCUAUAAUACCACGGUUGAAACGUCUGUUCAGGAACAAAGAGCAUGCCAAGUUGUUGCGAUGGCACAAAGAGGACCGUAAGUCGGACGGGGAGUUGAGACACACCGCAGAUGGAACGCAAUGGAGAAAGAUCGACAGAGAGUUCAAAGAUUUUGCAGCUGACGCAAGGAACAUAAGAUUUGGUCUAAGUACAGAUGGCAUGAAUCCUUUUGGCGAGCAGAGCUCCAGCCAUAGCACCUGGCCCGUGACUCUAUGCAUCUACAACCUUCCUCCUUGGUUGUGCAUGAAGCAGAAGUUCAUUAUGAUGCCAGUGCUCAUCCAAGGUCCGAAGCAACCCGGCAACGACAUCGAUGUGUACCUAAGGCCAUUAGUUGAUGAACUUUUACAGCUGUGUGGCAGACCUGGUGUUCGUGUGUGGGAUGAGCACAAAAAAGAGGAAUUUAACCUACGAGCGUUGCUUUUCGUAACCAUCAAUGAUUGGCCUGCUCUUAGUAACCUUUCGGGACUGUCAAAUAAGGGAUACAAUGCAUGCACGCACUGCUUACAUGAGACUGAAAGUGUACAUUUGCCAAAUUGUAAGAAGAACGUGUACCUUGGGCAUCGUCGAUUUCUUCCGAAAAUUCAUCCAGUAAGAAAGAAAGGCAAGCAUUACAACGGCAAGGCAGAUCACCGGCCGAAGCCUGCGGAACGCACUGGUGCUGAGGUAUUUGAUAUGGUCAAGGAUUUGAAAGUCAUCUUUGGAAAGGGUCCUGGCGGACAAUCAGUUCCGAAGGGAGCUGACGGGCACGCAGCCAUGUGGAAGAAGAAAUCUAUAUUCUGGGAGCUAGAAUAUUGGAAAGUCCUAGAAGUCUGCUCUGCAAUCGACGUGAUGCACGUUACGAAGAAUAUUUGCGUGAACCUCCUAAGCUUCUUGGGCGUGUAUGGGAAGACAAAUGAUACAAAGGAAGCACGGCAGGACCAGCAAUGUUUGAAAGACCCUGAUGACCAGCAUCCGGAAUGGUUUCAAGGUCGUGCCAGCUACGCUCUGACCAAAGAAGAGAAGGUCAUCUUUUUUGAAUGCCUGAGCAGUAUGAAGGUCCCGUCUGGAUUCUCGUCCAAUAUAAAGGGAAUAAUAAACAUGGCGGAGAAAAGUUCCAAAACCUGAAGUCUCACGACUGCCACGUGAUUAUGACGCAAUUGCUUCCGAUUGCUUUGAGGGGGCUCCUGCCGGAAAAUGUUCGAGUAGACAUUGUGAAGCUAUGUGCAUUCCUCAAUGCAAUCUCUCAGAAGGUAAUCAAUCCAGAAGAUCUACCACGGUUACAGAACGAUGUGAUCCAAUGUCUUGUCAGUUUCGAGUUGGUGUUCCCGCCAUCCUUCUUCAAUAUUAUGACGCACCUCUUGGUUCACCUAGUCGAAGAGAUUUUCAUUCUCGGUCCUGUAUUUCUACACAAUAUGUUCCCAUUCGAGAGGUUCAUGGGAGUAUUAAAGAAAUAUGUUCGUAACCGUGCUAGGCCAGAAGGAAGCAUCGCCAAGGGCUAUGGAAAUGAGGAGGUAAUUGAGUUUUGUGUUGACUUUGUUCCUGACCUUAAGCCGAUUGGUCUUCCUCGAUCGCGGCACGAGGGGAGACUAAGUGGAAAAGGCACGAUCGGAAGGAAAUCAACGACAUGUAUGGACGGCCAUUCUCUGACUGAAGCACACCACACUGUACUGACCAAUUCCAGCUUGGUGGCUCCGUACUUUGAGAAACACAAGAAUAUUUUACGCUCGGACAACCCGGGGAAGCCUGAAUCCUGGAUUAGGAAGGCCCACAUGGAGACUUUCGGCAGUUGGUUGAGAAAACAUUUAAUGAAUGACAAUGAUGUUGUAGAUCAGCUGUACAUGUUGGCCAAGACACCAUCUUCGACUAUAACGACUUUCCAAGGGUACGAGAUAAAUGGGAAUACAUUUUACACGAUCGCCNNNNNNNNNNNNNNNNNNNNNNNNNNNNNNNNNNNNNNNNNNNNNNNNNNNNNNNNNNNNNNNNNNNNNNNNNNNNNNNNNNNNNNNNNNNNNNNNNNNNNNNNNNNNNNNNNNNNNNNNNNNNNNNNNNNNNNNNNNNNNNNNNNNNNNNNNNNNNNNNNNNNNNNNNNNNNNNNNNNNNNNNNNNNNNNNNNNNNNNNNNNNNNNNNNNNNNNNNNNNNNNNNNNNNNNNNNNNNNNNNNNNNNNNNNNNNNNNNNNNNNNNNNNNNNNNNNNNNNNNNNNNNNNNNNNNNNNNNNNNNNNNNNNNNNNNNNNNNNNNNNNNNNNNNNNNNNNNNNNNNNNNNNNNNNNNNNNNNNNNNNNNNNNNNNNNNNNNNNNNNNNNNNNNNNNNNNNNNNNNNNNNNNNNNNNNNNNNNNNNNNNNNNNNNNNNNNNNNNNNNNNNNNNNNNNNNNNNNNNNNNNNNNNNNNNNNNNNNNNNNNNNNNNNNNNNNNNNNNNNNNNNNNNNNNNNNNNNNNNNNNNNNNNNNNNNNNNNNNNNNNNNNNNNNNNNNNNNNNNNNNNNNNNNNNNNNNNNNNNNNNNNNNNNNNNNNNNNNNNNNNNNNNNNNNNNNNNNNNNNNNNNNNNNNNNNNNNNNNNNNNNNNNNNNNNNNNNNNNNNNNNNNNNNNNNNNNNNNNNNNNNNNNNNNNNNNNNNNNNNNNNNNNNNNNNNNNNNNNNNNNNNNNNNNNNNNNNNNNNNNNNNNNNNNNNNNNNNNNNNNNNNNNNNNNNNNNNNNNNNNNNNNNNNNNNNNNNNNNNNNNNNNNNNNNNNNNNNNNNNNNNNNNNNNNNNNNNNNNNNNNNNNNNNNNNNNNNNNNNNNNNNNNNNNNNNNNNNNNNNNNNNNNNNNNNNNNNNNNNNNNNNNNNNNNNNNNNNNNNNNNNNNNNNNNNNNNNNNNNNNNNNNNNNNNNNNNNNNNNNNNNNNNNNNNNNNNNNNNNNNNNNNNNNNNNNNNNNNNNNNNNNNNNNNNNNNNNNNNNNNNNNNNNNNNNNNNNNNNNNNNNNNNNNNNNNNNNNNNNNNNNNNNNNNNNNNNNNNNNNNNNNNNNNNNNNNNNNNNNNNNNNNNNNNNNNNNNNNNNNNNNNNNNNNNNNNNNNNNNNNNNNNNNNNNNNNNNNNNNNNNNNNNNNNNNNNNNNNNNNNNNNNNNNNNNNNNNNNNNNNNNNNNNNNNNNNNAAAUAACUUAAAACUUGAUAAUUAACAAAAAAACCGUAAAAUUUGAUAAUUAACAAAAAAAACGUAUAUACGGAGAGGGGGCGGCGAGGGGGGCGGCGAUGCGCGCGGUGUUUUUUUAGGGAUCGAGAGGGGACGGCGAGGGUUAUAAAUGUGUUGUCCUCGCCUCCCUCUCCGUGACGCCGUCGUCUGCCUCCCCGUCUCGCGCUCUACCGCGACACCCUCUCCCACCCCUUCCUCGCCCCCUCCUUUUGCCACUGCCCUUUCGCCACCGCCACCGCCACCGCCCCCCUUCUUCACUUAAUUAAUUUGUUUUUACUACAUGUUUUCAGGACUGACAUAAUGGCGGACGAUAGAGCUGACCCGAUUAUGGACAACUAUGAUCCGGACGGUGAAGCACAUAUGUUCGGCAUCAUAAACGGCGAUAUUCUAUAUGUGCCGACCGGACAAGAAGAAGAUGAUAUCUCUUCUUAUCUGAACCUUGACGGUGAAGAUGAAGGGCGCCGUCAGCAAGAUGAUGCCGAACAAACGUCGAUAAACGACGAUCUUCAAAUGGAAGUAGCAACCACCUCCGGCGCCGAGGUAUAUAUAUAUACAUUGAGCCUCUGGUGAUACAAACUAACUGAUUUGAAUAAAUAUGUUUGGACUAACGCGCGCGACUCUCUUUCUUAUUUUAGCCCUCGGCCGGAUCGUCGAAACAAUCGAGUACGUCGUCAAAGCGUGGCGCAACCAAGACGAUGAAACAAGGAGAAACAUGCACCAUCGAGGUUGUCGACAGUGCAACCGGCAGGCCGCUGGAGCCCCGCAAGAACGCCACCAAGUUUGUCAACCAAUGCGGAGCCAUUGUUAGAGACAACGUCUCGAUCACCGUCCAGGAGUGGAAUAAGCCAAAGAAGGCACGAAUUGCUGGUUUCACUUUCGUCGAUAAGAGAACAAAAAGAGAUUGCUUCAAAAAGCUUAUGGAACAUUUCGUUCUACCUCCGGAAUACAACAAAUUCGAUGAGGAGGGUAACAAGAUUGAGGAAAACAAGGAGAGGAGGAGGCUAGUCAAACAGUUCGCUCUUCAUAAGAUGGCCGACGCAUUCCGGAAAUUCAAGCAAAAUCUAGCCCAUGACUUUGUCAAGCAGAACAAGACUCCGGAUUUCAAAGGACAAUAUGAGAAACUGAAACAUGAUUGCCCAGAAUUUGUGAAGCAAAAGAAAUCGGAGCAGUUCAUUCAAAUAUCGAAAAAAAUAAGGAAAAUGCGGCUAAGAAGGAGUACAAUCAUAUUAUGGGGCCAGGAGGGUAUCGCCUUUGGGAGCCUAGGUGGGAGAAGAUGGAGAACGAGCUGAGAGCGCGAGGAAUCCGUCCAGGUACGGAGGGAUGGGACCCAAGGGCCAAAAGCUGGUGGUACGGGCAUGGGGGAACGCUGAACCCGGAGACAGGGGACUGUGUUUACCGGGGCAAAAUAAUUAAACCCACCCAAGCCCUUAUUGACGCAAUGAGGGAUGCUCAAGAGGGGAAGAUCAAGUUCAACAGAGAGAACGACGCACUGACAAAAGCCCUCGGGAAUCCUGAACACGGAGGACGUGUACGAGGCAUGGGGCACAUUCCGUGGAAAAUAGGGUUCCCCCAGAAUGAUGACCCGUACGGUUACAGAAGCCGGAAGAGAAAGAUGGAUCGGGAAGCAGAUGUUGUGGCGCGGUUGGCAUCGGAAAUGGAUGUGAUGAAGAAAACCGUGAGUGUACUAGUAGCCGAACGAGAUGCAGCUCGGGCGCAGCAUGAAGAUCAUCCAGCGGAUCUCAGAAGCCAGCAGCGGAGAAGCAGUGUGGCUUCCACGGAGGCCCCACCGGCUGGUGCAGAUGCACCGACGAUCGAAAUUACUGCACCUGAGCCUCUGGUGGUCGAAAUUACUGCACCGGAGCCUCUGGUGGUCGAAAUUACUGCACCGGAGCCUCCUCGCUACCCCGUGGAUGAUAUAAAGGAGAUGAAAGAAUGUCAUCUGUAUUAUCCUAUCGGGAACAUGUCCGUGAAGGUAGCCAUCGGCAGUGCUUUACCAUGUUUACCUGGAGCACUCCACCACAACACCCCCAUUCAAGAUGGCUAUGCUCGUGUCACGGUGGAGGACAUAGUCCAAGGGUUUGAGGACCUGGAGAUUGACAUUGCUACACCUGAAGGGGAGAAAAGACUUGGAGAUGUCAAGCGCCAUUUCAUUCUAUGGCAAAAGAAGUUUAUCAAGUUUCCAGGCGAGGCGCCAAGGACAACAAGUCCACCCCCCUACGGUGGUGGCGGUUCACCUACACCUCCGUCACGUCAGCCGACGCCCCCCAGUCCACAACGUCCGGCGGGUGAUCAGACGCCGCCCCCCAGUCCUCGUCCGGCGGGUGAUCAGACGCCGCCCCCCAAUCCACCUCCGGCAAAGAAGCAGAAGCAGUCCUGGAUUAUUUACCCGGACCCUUAUGUACCUAAGACCACAAAGGUACCGGAGCCAUCAUUGAAGCCUCUCCCCACAAGGCCUUGGGAACGUAGUGCCGAGGAAACUGCCGCGGCCGCGGCUGCUGAUCAUGAGAAAUGGAAGGCGGACUGCAAGAAGAAAAGAGAGCCCGAGCCCAAGCCAGUAUUUUCUGAUGAGCAAAAGAAGUGGGCUAAGUCAUUUUUGAGCACACCGUCCCAAGCCGCGAAGAAUCUGCCUGACGACUAUGCACGUGAACUUCGUAGGCAGGCACUCAUGUUGAAGGAGAAGAAAGAGCGGGCGGAGAACCAGGAGAACAAAGCCUUGGAGGAGGCCGAGAAAACGGAAUUAGAAAGUAAAAAAAGCGGGAAACGAGUUGCCCAGCUCGGGGAACAAAGUAAACAAUCGAUUGCCCCGCUUAUAGUGAAAGCCGCCGGUCCGGAUGACCCCGAUAUCAUAGCAGCUGCGGCAGCACAUGGAUUGACUGUAACGAGUGCCAGAGAACAAGCGGCCAACUUAGGUAUUACUCUUCGUGAACUGUUAGGCCUUGAUGAGGCACCAGUGAAGGAGGUAGUAAUUACAUAUGUGAAAAAUGGGCCUCUCGUCGAGCCUGCGCAGGAACAGGAUCUACCUCCACAAAUGAAAGGUCUGCUGAAAUGGUACAAGGGUUACAUAAAAAAUAAAAACGCCAAAGAAUAUAUUUAUGCGGAAGUUAGAUAUGAGCAUCACUUCAAACAUUACUAUGUACAAAUUCAUCUGAGUGAAUUGUUCCAGCUUUUCAAUCUGCGCGAGCUCGACAAAUCUAUCAUCAGUUGCUACGUUCUGUAAGUGAUUUAUUUCUACCCCAUCUCGUUCAUAUUGCCUGCACUAUAUAUAUGUCCUAACUAUAUUGUUGUGUCCGCUAUUAUACAUGCAGAAUGAAGAUUAAGGAAUGCAGAGUAAGGAACAUCCAUAAUGUUGGGUUCAUUGACCCACACAUCGUUAAUGGAUAUGUGUUGGAGCAUCACCCCGCCGACAUGGAGGCAGACCUGUGGCAGUUUCUUACAAAGCAGGAACUCAAAAGUGAUAUUCUAUUUCCUUACCAUUUUGGGUGAGUGUUUCUGUCUUGAGCACAUUCUCUUUUGUUUACUCCAUGCAUGGUAUGUGGCCGGCUAAUCGAUGAGUUAUGCAUGACGUACUGUGCAUGUAUCGUGUCCGCAGGUUCCACUGGAUUCUGCUAGUAAUUAAAGUUGACACCUCAGAAUGUCUCGUCCACGACUCUCUGAAUAAGGAUCCAAAGCUUUGGGUCGACAUGAGAAGAAUGCUGCAGAAAUAAUUAUUUUCAUUCAUUUGCGCUCUAUAUCGAUCGGCCUAUUUCGUUCAUUUCCUAAUAUCAAGUAACUAAUAACUCUCUUGUUCAUUUAAUUUUCUUUGCCUCGUAGGGUUUGGAGACGGUUCGUAGAUACAAAGGUCGGUGAAUUCAAAAAAGAGCUAGAAUUCAAAAGGGCAAAGGCUAAGAAUGGUGAGGAUAUUCAGCCAGCGGGGACCAAUCUAUGUGCAUACUAUGUCUGUGAGAUGAUCCGGAGAUACACCUCUGAGCGGGUUCCGAGUGAUACCAAUGCUCAGAGGAAUAACCUCCGGAUGAUGCUUAGUCCAGAAGCUCGCUUCCGACCACUUCAAGAGGAACUUGCUGGAUGGUUCAGGAGGGAAGUCCUCCAUCCUAAAGGAGAACACCAUUACGAGGACGUAGAACUUUAUAUGCAUUAAAUUAUGUAUGGAAACUUGUUCAAAAUUGUAUAUGGUCAUCCGAUGAUAUUGAAUAUAUAUUGUAUAUUCCUCUUGAAUUCUUUUUGGUUCUAAUUUCAAAUUUGUUUGAAAUUGUACAUUCAUAUGCAUGUAUGUAGUACCGUAGAAUAUGUGAAACUCCUUCAAAAUUAAAAUAAAGCACAAAAGAAAUAAAACAAUACAUAUUAAACAGAAAACAGGUUUAAGGGGGGAGGGGGGGCUAAAACCCUAAACCUGCGGCGGCCUUUAGUCGCGGUUGGCCAGAAGAACCACGACUAAAGGUCCUCCGCCCCGACGGCCACCUGGCGCCCACGUGGACGGGCCUUUAGUCGCGGUUCUUAAGCAACCGCGACUAAAGGGUGGGGCCUUUAGUCGCGCCCGUUCGGUCGCGGUUGCGCAACCGCGACUAAUGGCAGUUGCGAACCGCGACCAAAGGCCCUUUUCCCACCAGUGGAGUGAAAAUAAGAAAAAAACAAAUGGGAAAAACCAAAUGUGGCCAUGGAAAAAAAAACUGGCGCUCUAACAAAUGACGAGAUAAGGGAGGCAGAAGAAAAACCAAAUGUGGAUCGAACACGCGACCUUCAGAUCUUCAGUCUGACGCUCUCCCAAGUGAACUAUCCCCGCUUGAUGUUAUUUCAGUUAGUUCCAAUUCUCUUUUUUUGAUUUCUGACUCACUUCAUAUUUGACUCUACACUAACGCUCUUCAAACUAACAUAAGGCCUCAGAAUCUCCACGUAGCAGCGAUCAGUAAAUGUAUUAUAUUACGCAUCUCGUACAACCGUAGCAUAGACUUCUCAACAUAUUUUUAUACGUACUUGAUGAUGUUCUUUCUUUACAUGGAAGAAGGAAAUCCAUGAUCUAUGGAACAAUCCAUGAUCUAUGGAUCACCAGCGGCAGUGCCGCGCAGCACGGAUGGAGAUGGAGGUCCAAGCUCUUAUUGGCGGCGCAGUGGUAGUACAGUGUGAGCACCAUCCCGCCACAGCUGCCGCAUGUCUUGCCACUGCAGCGCGGGUGCUCGUGGCAGAGCUGGAACUCCUUGCCCUUGAACAAUGGGUGCACCAGCAUGCCCUCUGCGAGGGCACAGUCAUUGUGGAGGUCGGAGUCACAGGGUUGGCACGUGUACAUGUCCCCGGCGCCUAGAUCCAUGCAGACGUUGCACUGGAACUCCGCGGCGCCGGUGGCCAUCAGCGCUCCCGGCGGGCGGGGUGGGACGUGGGAGAUUUCCGCAGGAUGUGGCAAGGUUGUCAAAAAACGGUAUUUUCCUUUUUCGGAGGCGGACGUUUUAAAUUGGAUGUAUAUACUACUGGAAUUAUGAUGUACACCGGGUGUCAUGUUCUUCGCCGAGUACCAAAACACGGACACUCGACAAAGAAAAUAACAACGAGAGUCACUUUUGGCAAACCUAGCUUUACGACAAACUGCCUUCUUUGCCGUCACUGCCUCGCGGCAAAGAGGCACCGCACGGCAAACCCUACAGACGUCGAGAGCUGCUCACGACAAAGAGGAGCCACGUGACAUGCCCGUCCGAAACACGACUCCGUCGGUUACUGUGUAUAUCACCGAGAGCGACACUCGGCAAACUAUAUGCCACAUCCUAUUUUCUUUUUUGAGUGUGUUCUUUCUAACUGACAUGUGAUCCCACUGGUCACAUUUAUCAAUAAAAGUUUCAAAUAAUUUGCUAAAUAUUUUUGAACAAAAAUGACGAUAUCUUUCCCGAGAGCUGCUCUCAGCAAUUCUCCUGACCAGUAAGAUAGCGUGGCCACAUGGCAGCUGACAGUUUACAUAUCUUUGUCGAGAGUUGGUCUCGGCAAUGCUCGCCAUCUUUUUCGAGAGCUGCUCUCGGAAAAGGUAUGGCACAACAGUAGUGUCUCCCAGACGACCAAUUUUCUGAGAGGAGCUCUCGGUAGUAUAUCGUUUUCCGAGUGUAGCUCUUGGAAAUCUUUCCCAUCCAUUCUACUGUUAAGCUAUUUCUUUUCUGAUCCCUGCAGAUGAAAACAACUACAGUGCAAUUUGGAGUAGUCCACACAUAUAUAGGCAUAAUUUGAUCUACUCCAUAUAUAUAUACAUACAUAUAUAUAUAUAUAAUUAGGGAUAGUCCACAUAUUAUCACACACAAAUCGAAUGUAGUAUCCUAGUAGAUGUCACACACAAGUCGUAAAUUUAUAUAUAUUGUCACUACUUGCAAAACAUGUGCACGUUACAAUAGAAGUACACUUAUUCAUAUAUAGAUCAGCUUGAGGAGGAGAGGCCAUCGGGUUAACAUUCCAGAGGAGGAGGGGCAUCACUUGCACUGCUUCGAGAUUGCAUAAGAACCUAUAAGAGUAGAGUCACGUGAGGAUGGUUCGUCCCUAUGUAAUGAAUCUUCUACUCUAGUUUAGAUAAUGUUCUACCUGUAGUUGAUUCUCAAGUAGCUUCAACCUAUUGUUAGUGUCUUCUCGUUCCUUUUCUUUGGACUCCUCAGCCUUCCGCCUUUGCUCCUCUUCAACAGCCUGCUGCUUCAUUAAAUUCUGUAACAUGGCAUUAGGCUCAUAUAGGUUGGACCGGUGCUAUUUCGAGGCAUGGACAUAAAUGAAAGGUUAGAAUGCUAACCUUGAGACUUGUGGUGCAUCUAUCUCGCAGCGCCGUGAAUGAUGUGAUCUUCAGUGACGUGGAGGUUUCAGGAGGUAUUGCUGUCUACACCUACAAAGAAGAGAAUGUUGACAGAUUUUGCCGUGUAACCGUGCCACUGUUCAACUCUGAAUAUAGUAUGUUGUCUGAACAAGUUAGCAGGAGCAUAGUCUGCACCAGAGGAUUUGGCAAAUAACUUCAGAAUUUUUAAUUGAACAUGGAUAUAUUAUUCUUGGAAGGAAAGUCUACACCAGUAGAUAUUGUGAUCUUCAAGGAUAACCCAACAUUUUAGGUGCUCUACAAGGAAUGGAUAUGAGAACGUUGCAGCGUCACAAUAGUCAAGAACCUCCACAGAAGGGUUCCAAUACUCAAGGUUUAUUUCUAGUGCUUCUUUUUUCCAGUGUAAAGAAGGGAGUAACCACAGUUUCCCCAAUUGUUGAAUCACAGAUGUAUCACCACAUAAACAGAGCAUAUGACAAGUUCAAAAUUCGAGUGCAAAACAUAUGUUCUUGUGCAACACAAAACGUCCGAAGUUUAAGCGCACAAACAUCGGCAACUCGAUUGCAACUACUUUCACUGAAUAAUGUAUCUCUCAUAACAGUAAAAAAACUAUUUCCUAGCCCAAAAAGAUGUUUUCUCGGAUCACAAUCGAUACCCCUACUUUAUGGCUGAAAACCCUUCUUUAUCACCCAAAACCCUAGCUUUAUUACGCCGCCCAAACUUACCAAACCCUGUUCUGACUUGAAUCCGACCGAUCAUCACAACAUUACAUCCCACCGGUGAUUUCCGCGGUGGUGCAGAAGAAUAGAGGCGGAGGGGAUUUCGAGAACUUGUCAUAAUCCGGAGGGAAGAUCCUGUGCGGGCGGACAAGAUGCACGGAGACGGCGGCUCCAUACCGCUGCUGAUCACCGAUGACGUCGCCAAGAGGAGGCGGACAUCAUCAAGGGAACGUCGACACGACGAGUUCUCCGAUAGAGGAGGCAAAGAGAUGUGUUAGAAGUGAGUGCUUUGAUUUAAUUCAAUUUUUUUUUAAUCUCCACCGAUGUGCUCGAGUUGGAGUGCAGUUUUCCCCCCGCAAAACGCAAUGACCGGCUUGGCCCCUCCGCCGCUAACGUGCCGCUAGAUGUCGCGUGCUGAUUGGCUCGACUAAUUUGCACAUCGGCAACAAGUUCCUGGGUGGCAGGGCGAGCAAUCGCAAGUUGUGUCACCGGCCAGAGUCCAGACAGUUUGUGGGUGUGCAGUGUUGUUACAUCUUUUUUAUGUUUUUUUAGAAUCAUCUUUUUUAUGUGAGAGGCUUUCACAAAUCUCUAAAUAAAUAAAGGACGCGUCUAGUGGGCGGCCGGCUGCCCACUAGCGCGAUCGAGCAGCUGGCCAUAAAAAGCAACUUCCUGUCCCCCACGUGGUACAGAAAAAGCAGGAUCGAGCUGCCACCAAACCGAGUGAUUCCAGCGCCCAAUCCCGAACAAAAAGCGACCCCCCCACGUGGCCAGCUGUCCACAAACUCGCUCGCCCCCACGUCCCAACCCCUCCCACGCCCGCUCGCCCAGGCAAUCCCACGCUGCUUUCUUGACCUGCAGGAAAGAAAGGGAUCCAAAGCUCCUUCUUCCUCCUCCUAUAUAGCCGCCAUGGGAGCAGAAAGAUAGAUGAAUCUGCUUCAACAAAUUGAUCUAAAAUGCAGGGUGAUCAGACCCAUACCAGGCAACAAACAUCAGGCAAGUACUUCCUCUCUAACCCUCUUCAGUUGUCCCCUUUCUUGUACUGCAUCUAUAAAACACCCUCCUCCAUGGAUCCAUCAGCAAAUCCAUGAAGAAUCUGCUUCAAAAAAAGAGUACAUUUGAAACAUCACCUUAUUGUGAACAUCACACCGGCCGCACCCCCCCCCCAUGAGUGCAUCUGCACACUAACUUAGGGUUCCCAGAUCGAAACUGAACGUGUUUUUCUAAACAUGCAUGCUAAGCAAGUUUACCCUGCCCCUUUUAUGUGUUCAACAAGUCAACUAAGACAUAUUUACUGGCCAACAAAUACAUGAUUCUAGCCAACUGAACAUGCAUGCUUGCCAACUAGAUAUAUGCAUCCUGGCCAACUGAAACGUCUAUUCUAGCCAGCUGAACACAUUGACUGUGCAACGGAACAUGCAUGCUGGCCAACUGAUAUAUGCAUCCUAGCCAAUUGAAAUGUCUAUUCUAGCUAGCUAAACACAUUGACUGUGCAACAGAACAUGCAUCCUGGCCAAGCUGAUAUAUGCAUCCUGGCCAACUGAAAUGUCUAUUCUAGCCAGCUAAAUACAUUGGUUGUGCAACAGAACAUGCAUUCUGGCCAAAAUGAUAUAUGGAUCCAUGAAAAUUCAAACAUCUAUUUUAGCCAACUAAACACAUUGGCUGUGCAACUGAACAUGCAUGCUGACCAACUGAUAUAUGCAUCCUAGGAAAAUUGAAACAUCUAUUCUAUCCAACUGAAUACAUGGACUGUGCAACUGAAUAUGCAUGCUGGCCAACUGAUAUAUGCAUCCUGGGAAAUUGAAACAUCUAUUCUAGCAAAAUUGAACACAUUGACUGUCAAACAAAACUUGCAUGCUGGCCAACUGAUAUAUGCAUCCUGGCCAACUCAAAGAUCUAUUCUAGCCAAAACCAAAAAACUGCAGUACGGCAACUUCUGCAGCAAUAUGUGCAACAGAUAAAUAAACAAGGUUAUUGAAGCCAUAAAACCACAUUAAAGUAGUCACACAUAUAUUCUGGUAGCACACCUAUUGCAAAGCUAUAGUGUAAAAAUAUGUUCAAAUAUACUGAAAGUAGAAACAGAAACGGCGACGAAAAACAUAUAUCUAUAGUCUGUCAUCAAAUUCUUCUUUCUUCUUUCACCUGGAUUUUGCAUCUGAAAAAGUAGCAUCAAAUUGUGUCCCUAUUAUGUGCAGCAAAAUUUGAAUAAGCUCCUUGCCAACGGAACCCUGCGGAUCAUUGCAAUAAAAGCAGAGGAAAAAGUCAGAAAACUCUAUGGCAAAAAGAAGUCAAGUUCUUGCCAACUAUUUACUACAAACUGUGCAACUAACAUAACAACUCUGUGCAAAAACAAAAAAUGCAUGCAUGUUAUAAUAAAAGAUUCUGCUACAGACAUGUUGCUUUUGGAACUAAGAUUGUCAUAAAAUGGUGUGCAACUGCCUAUUUACUAAGUUUUUUGGUUGUUUGAAACACUCUUUUCUAUGAUUAACAACUGAUGACAUCACUUUCUUCUUUUUUAUAUGUGCAGUGAGUGUGUGGCAGCAUCCAAAAAAAGGAAAAAAAUGCUUGUUUUCAAUGAGCUUCCUCAUGAUACGGAUCAGCAGCAACCCAGCAUACCACAAGGAAACUGGACAGAAAAUGUACGAUCUGUUUACUACACACAGGCUAGUCAUGGUGGAAACCCUAUGGGCCAUGACAAUGUGGUAGACCAACCAUCAACCCGUGGUGCCCCUGUAGUGGUGUCUUUGCAGUCAGAGAGCCAUACUCUAGAUGACAUGGGAACCGAGGCAAAUGUUCCUCAUCCAACCAGGACUGAGCUAGGAGCUGGGGCUGUUGACGGAGCUGUGCAAGAAGAAGAAGGAGAGGAUGAGGCUGGUUCUCAACGUAUGGAACCCUAUGUUGGCACGAGGUUUGACAGCCUUCAAAUUGCUAAGGAUCACUACAACAGCUACGCACUACGGAUGGAUUUCUCUAUCAAUAUGAACACAUCUAGACGGACACCCCGCACCAAUGAAUUGAUAAAACAACAGUUUUGCUGCAACAAGUUCAAGAAGCCCAAAGCUGAUGAUGGAGGAGCUGAGGCUCCUCCUGUUUUGGACCCUAUUCCAGAUCCAAAAUCUGUUGACAGUGAUGAGGAGAUGAAAGAAGAACCUCCAAUAUUUGCUGAAGAGGAGGCUGGUACUAGUAAGAAGAAGAAGAAGCGCAAACGUGAGACAAUAAAGCAGACUCAGUGCAAAGCAAAAAUGUUGGUGAAGCUGAUAGAUGGGCGAUGAGAGGUGACACACUUUGUUCGUGACCACAAUCAUCCGCUCGUGAACAAACCUUCAUUGUCCAAAUACUUGAGAUCCCACCAAGGCAUCUCACCUGAUGAAAAGGAGUUUCUGCGCAUCUUGUAUAACUGCAACUUGACUACAGGUGUGGUGUUUUUCUAUAUCCCUUAAAGAAUUAAGUUUUCCUCUAGGCAGUCUAGUGUGCAACUUUUAUGGUAGUACUGUGCAACUGAAAUGACUUAACUGUGCAACUGGUGUCCAACUGGUGUGCCACUGAAAUGACUUCACUUUUGGUGCUUGUUGUGCAACUAGAUUGUCUUUACUGUGCAACUAGACGAUGUCAUGUAUGCAAAAAGUGCAAAAGUGUUUUUAAAAAGAUGCAGCUAGGUGUCCAUUUCCUGCGAUUAUCUUUUGUGCCAACACAUUUCCUAUUACUGUGCAGCUGGAUGUGCGCAUUCGUGCAACUAAAAGAAGGAUAUACUAUUUUUUUGUAUUAUGCAGGACGUAUGAUGCAUGUAAUGGCAGAGUUUUAUGGAUCUAAGAUGAUGGUGCCAUUCGGACCAAAGGCAAUAACUAAUAUUUGUACAAGUUUCUGUAAAGAUGACACAAAGGAGGGUGAUCUGAUUGAGACAAUUGCGCACUUCAAGGAUAUUAAAAAACCGAUCCAGACUUCUUCUAUAAGGUGAAAUAUGAUGAAGAGGACAGAGUUGUCAACAUAUUUUGGGUGGAUGGCUUAGCUCGAAAAGCUUAUGCGGAGGCGUACCACGAUUGCAUAUCGUUUGACACCACCUACAUGACCAACAUGUACAAUAUUCCGUUUGCACCCUUCAUAGGAAUAAACUGACAUGGCCAAUCUUUCAUGUUGGGUUGCGCGUUUGUGAGGCAGGAGUUGGCAUCGAGCUUUGAUUGGGUCUUUGGAGCAUUCCUAGAGGCUAUGGAUGGCAAACCUCCUGACAACUUCAUAACCGAUCAGGAUGGUGCAAUGAGGCAGUCAAUACAGAGCAUCUUUCCAAACCACAGUGCACCGCUGUUGUCGAUGGCACAUCAUGAAAAAGGCUCAGGAAAAAGUUAGUUGGCUGCUGUGCCGGAAUCCAGGACUCUCUGAUGAUUUCAACAAGUGUGUUGACUUCAGCUUCACUAUAGACGAGUUUGAGCAGAAUUGGGCUGGGUUAAUGGUGAAGUACGAGGCUAUGACACACACACACACACACUUUGAGAAGUUGUACGAAUACAGGUCAACUUGGAUGUCGUGCUACUUCAAGCACAGGUUCUUCCCGUUCCUACAAUCUACAUAGUGUAAUGAGGGGUUCAACACCGUCCUGAAAAGAUAUGUGAACCCACACAACUCAAUGCUGAACUUCGUCAAGCAAUAUGAAAAAAAUCCAGAACCACAUCCUUGCCAAGGAAGGCUGCAAUGAUUAAAGGACAGAACACCUUGAGAUUGAGCUGUGGUCCAACUUCCCAAUAGAGAAGCAAGUUUACAAAACCUAUACUAGGGACCUUUACCGCAAGUUCAGAGAAGAGUUUGAGCUGAUUGGAUGUUAUAAUGCAUUCCAAGUUGGUGCUGAUAUAGAGCUCAGACCGAACCAGGAAUUUGUUGCCAAAUAUGGUUCUCGAAACUACUUGGUGUAGGCAAGGGUGGAGGAGGGCUCCUAUUUGUGUGAGUGCUGUAAAAUGGACAAAGACGACAUCCUCUAUUGCCACAUCCUCAAGGUGUUCACCCAUAUUGGAGUUGAUGUCAUACCGGAAAGGUACCUGCUAAGACAGUGGACACCUACUGCUAUACCUAGUGCGCCAGGGACUGGUUAUGAGCAACCGGAUGAAAUGCCUCCUCAGUCAAAGAAGCAGAUAAGGGAGAGGAACAUGAUAUACGAUUUUUGGAAACUAGCAAAGUUUGUGAGUGGUUCUGAUCCAGCACAAGCUAUUGUACACAAGCAUAUGCGUGCAACACGUACCGAGAUCGGCCACAUGAACAAGUCCAAGAAAAAGAAAAAACCGACUGCUGCCACGGGGCCAUCAGAUGAUGGCAACCCUCGAGGACCUCCUCCACCUCCACGCAGCAAUCAGGGUGCUCAUUAUCCAGCUAAUUAUCUGCCCCAACUCCUGAUCUAAAUAGGUGUGUAACUUCAGUUGCACACAUCAUUGUGCCUAGUUGCACACAUCAUGGUGGCCAGUUGCAUAGAAACAGGCUGCCUAGUUGCGCAUACUGUGUUAGUUCAAGCAUCGAGAUAACAUAACUAACUUGUUUUUCCUGUUCUGGAUAUAGAUGAUGUCAACCCUCAAGGACAUCCUCCACCUCCUGGCCCUAUAGGUAGCACUCAGGGGCCUCAUCGUCCAGGUAAUUACCUGCCCCAACUCCCAAUCAAACUAGGUCUGUAACUCCAGUUGCACACAUCAUGGUGCUCAGUUGCACAGAAAACAGGCUACCUAGUUGCGCACGUUGUGUUAGUUCGAGCAUCAAAGAUAACACAACUAACUUGUUUGUCCUGUUCUAUCUAUAGGUGAUGCCAACCCUCAAAGACCUCCUCCCCCGCCUGGCCCAACUAGCAGUGCCCUGCGUGCUACUCCCAAUGGACCUACAUGCAGGACUCAGGGGGCUCAUCACCCAGGUAAAAUACCUUCCCCAACUCCCAACAAAACUAGGAUGUGUGACUUCAGUUGCACAUAUCAUUAUGCCAGUGCAACGUCUUGAGCUUGCAUUGGUUUUCCUCGAAGAGGAGAGGGUGAUGCAUCAAUAGUAGCGUAAGUAUUUCCCUCAGUUUUUGAGAACCAAGAUAUCAAUCCAGUAGGAGGCUCCUCAAAAGUCACACGCACGUACACAAACAAACUGAGAACUCGCAACCAACGCGAUAAAGGGGUUGUCAAUCCCUUCACGGCCACUUGCGAAAGUGAGAUCUAAUAAAGAUGGUAAGCUAAGAUAAAUAUGUUUUUGGUAUUUUAUAAUAUGGAUGCAAAAAGUAAAGAUGCAAAUAAAAGUAGAUUGAAAGCAAAUAUGAUAAGAGAUAGUCCCGGGGGCCAUAGGUUUCACUAGAGGCUUCUCUCAAGAUAUCAUAAGUAUUACGGUGGGUGAACAAAUUACUGUCGAGCAAUUGAUAGAAAAGCGCAUAGUUAUGAGAUUAUCUAGGCAUGAUCAUGUAUAUAGGCAUCACGUCCAUAACAAGUAGACCGACUCCUGCCUGCAUCUACUAUUAUUACUCCACACAUCGACUGACUCCUGCCUGCAUCUAGAGUAUUAAGUUCAUAAGAACAGAGUAACACAUUAAGCAAGAUGACAUGAUGCAGAGAGAUAAACUCAUGCAAUAUGAUAUAAACCCCAUCUUGUUAUCCUUGAUGGCAACAAUACAAUACGUGCCUUGCAACUCUUUCUGUCACUGGGUAAGGACACCGCAAGAUUGAACCCAAAGCUAAGCACUUCUCCCAUGGCAAGAAAGACCAAUCUAGUAGGCCAAACCAAACUGAUAAUUCGAAGAGACUUGCAAAGAUAACUCAACCAUACAUAAAAGAAUUCAGAGAAGAUUCAAAUAUUAUUCAUAGAUAAACUUGAUCAUAAACCCACAAUUCAUCGGAUCUCGACAAACACACCGCAAAAAGAGUUUACAUCGAAUAGAUCUCCACAAGAGAGGGGGAGAACAUUGUAUUGAGAUCCAAAAAGAGAGAAGAAGCCAUCUAGCUAAUAACUAUGGACCCGUAGGUCUGUGGUAAACUACUCACAACUCAUCGGAGGGGCAAGGAUGUUGAUGUAGAGGCCCUCCGCGGUCGAUUCCCCCCCCGGCAGAGUGCCGACGAAGGCUCCAAGAUGGGAUCUCGCGGAUAUAGAAGGUUACGGUGGUGGAAAUUGUGUUUCAUGGUGCCCCUGGAUGUUUUCGGGGUACGUAGGUAUAUAUAGGAGGAAGAAGUACAUCGGUGGCCGCCCGAGGGGCCCACGAGACAGGGGGCGCACCCUAGAGGGGGGGGGGCUCCUAUCUCGUGGAGCCCUCAGCUGCUUCUUGACUUGCAUUCCAAGCUCUCCGGAUCACGUUCGUUCCAAAAAUCACGCUCCCGAAGGUUUCAUUCCGUUUGGACUCCGUUUGAUAUUCCUUUUCUUCGAAAUAUUGAAAUAGGCAGAAAAAACAGCAAUACGGGCCGGGCCUCCGGUUAGUAGGUUAGUCCCAAAAAUGAUAUAAAUGUGUAAAAUAAAGCCCAUAAACAUCCAAAAGAGGUAAUAUAAUAGCAUGGAACAAUCAAAAAUUAUAGAUACGUUGGAGACGUAUCAAGCAUCCCCAAGCUUAAUUCCUGCCCGUCCUCGAGUAGGUAAAUGUAAAUAAGAAAUUUUUGAUGUGGAAUGCUACCUAGCAUAAUUCUCAAUGUAAUUUUCUUUAUUGUGGCAUGAAUGUUCAGAUCCAAAUGAUUCAAAAUAAAAGCUUAUAAAACAUAAAAAUAAUAAUGCUUCAAAGCAUACUAACAAAAAAUCAUGUCCUAUCAAAAUAACAUAGCCAAAGAAAGCUUAUCCCUACAAAAUCAUAUAGUUAGGCCAUGCUUCAUUUUCAUUACACAAAAUACUCCCAUCAUGCACAACCUCGAUGACGAGCCGAGCAAUUGUUUCAUACUUUUUAACGCGCUUCAACUUUUUCAACUCUUACGCAAUACAUGAGCGUAAUCCAUGGACAUAACACUAUAGUGGUAUAUGGUGGUGGUUGUGAGGACAAAAAGAGGGAGAAGAUAAUCUCACAUCAACUAGGCGUACUAACGGGCUAUAUAGAGGUGCCCAUUAAUAGAUAUCAAUGUGAGUGAGUAGGGAUUGCCAUGCAACGAAUGCAGUAGAGCUAUAAAUAUAUGAAAGCUGAAAAAAGAAACUAAGUGGGUGUGCAUCCAACUUGCUUGCUCAUGAAGACCUAGGGCAUUUUGAGGAAGCCCAUUGUUGGAAUAUACAAGCCAAGUUCUAUAAUGAAAAAUUCCCACUAAGUAUACGAAAGUGACAACAUAGGAGACUCUCUAUCAUGAAGAUCAUGGUGCUACUUUGAAGCACAAGUGUGGAAAAAGAGAUAGUAGCAUUGUCCUUUCUCUCUUUUUAUCUCAUUUUAUUAUUUUUUCUUUUCUCUUUUUUUCUUUGGCCUUUUUUUUUCUUUUUGGCCUUUCUCAUUUUUUUUCUUUUUUUUAUUUCUCUUUUUUUUCUUUUUGUAAAGUCCGAAGUCUCAUCCCUACUUGUGCGGGAAUCAUAGCCUUCAUCAUCCUUACCUCACUAGGACAAUGCUCUAAUAAUUAAGAUCAUCACACUUCUAUGGAUUUACAACUCAAGAAUUACAACUCAAAGCUAGAACAAGAUCUGACUCUAUAUGAAUGCCUCCGGCGCUGUACCGGGAUAUGCAAUGAAUCAAGAGCGACAUGUAUGAAAAUUAUGAAGGUGGCCUUGCCACAAAUACGAUGUCAACUACAUGAUCAUGCAAAGAGCAAUAUGACAAUGAUGGAACGUGUCAUAAUAAAUGGAAUGGUGGAAAGUUGCAUGGCAAUAUAUCUCGGAAUGGCUAUGGAAAUGCCAUAAUAGGUAGGUAUGGUGGCUGUUUUGAGGAAGGUAAAUAAGGGGUUUAUGAUACCGACAAAAGUUGCGCGGUAAUAAUAAAGGCUAGCAACGUAAAAGGAUGAGUGUGCAUAUGUCCAUGGACUCACAUUAGUCAAAAGAGAACUCAUAUACUUAUUGAAAAAGCCUACUUAGCCCUCGAAGCAAAGUACUACUACGCAUGACCCAAGAGGGAUAGAUUGGUAGGAAAAGACCAUCGCUCGUCCCCGACUGCCACUCAUAAGGAAGACACUCAAAAGAGCACCUCAUCCAACAAAUUUGUCACACAACUUUUACCAUACGUGCAUGCUACGGGACUUGCCAACUUCGACAAAAGUAUUUCUCAAUUUCAUAAUUACCCACUAGCAUGACCCUAACAUUACUACCUUUAUAUCUCAAAACAACUAUCAAGCAUCAAGUUGAUCAUAGCAUCCAAUUCUUAUUCUAUGAUAGUUUUUAUUAUACCCAACUUGGAUGCUCAUCAUUCUAAGACCAACUUUGUAACCAUAGCAAAUACCAUGUUGUUCUAAAAAACUCUCAAAAAUAUAUAAGUGAAGCAUGAGAGACUAGAAAUUUCUUCAAAAUCAGGACACCACCAUGCUCUAAAAGAUAUAAGUGAAGCACUAGAGCAAAAACUAUCAAGCUCAAAAGAUAUAAGUGAAGCACAUAGAGUAUUCUAGCAAAUUCUAAUCAAAUAAGCUUCUCCCAAAAGGUGUGUACAGCAAGGAUGAUUGUGGUAAACUAAAAAGCAAAGACUAAUAUAAUACACGAUGCUCCAAGCAAAACACAUAUCAUGUGGCGAAUAAAAAUAUAGCUCCAAGUAAAGUUACCAAUGAACGAAGACGAAAGAGGGGAUGCCUUCCUGGGGCAUCCCCAAGCUUAGGAUUUUGGCUAUUCUUGAAUAUCUUGGGGUGCCUUGGGCAUACCCAAGCUUAGGCUCUUGCCACUCCUUAUUCCAUAGUCCAUAAAAACUUUACCCAAAACUUGAAAACUUCACAACACAAAACUCAACAGGAAAUCUUAUAAACUCCGUUAGUGAAAGAAAACAAAACCACUACAUAAGGUACUGCAAUGAACUCAUUAUUUAUUUAUUUUGGUGUUAAACCUACUGUAUUCGAACUUCCUUAUGGUUUAUAAACUAAUUUACUAACCAUAGAUGCAUUGAAAUAAGCAAACAACACACGAAAAACAGAAUCUGUCAAAAACAGAACAGUCUGUAGCAAUCUGUAACUAACGCAAAUUGCUGGAACUCUAAAAAUCCUACCAAAAUAGGAAGUCCUGGACAAUUUGUUUAUUGAAAAGCAGAAAAAAGAAUCAACGCAAAAUCACGUUCCUGUGAUUUAACAAAAUUAUAUUCGUGCCCGCAAAGUUUCUGUUUUUCAGCAGAAUCAAAUCAACUAUCAUCGUAGGUUAUCCUAUAGGUUCUACUUGGCACAAACACUAAUUAAAAGAUAAAACACAUCUAAACAGAAGGUAGAUGCAAGAUUUAUUACUAAACAGGAGCAAAAACAAAGAACAUAAAGAAAAUUGGGUUGCCUCCCAACUAGCGCUAUCGUUUAACGCCCCUAGCUAGGCAUAAAAACAAAGAUAGAUCUAAGUAGUGCCAUAUUUGGCACUAGAUUCGUAAGUAGCACGCAUGAUAGAUUCAUAAGGUAAUUUGACUUUAUUUCUUGGAAAGUGCUCCAUGCCUUUCUUUAAUGGAAAUUGGAAUCUAAUAUUCCCUUCCUUCAUAUCAAUAAUCGCACCAAUCGUUCUAAGAAAAGGUCUACCAAGAAUAAUAGGGCAAGAAAGAUUGCAAUCUAUAUCAAGAACGAUAAAAUCUACGGACACCAAAUUUCUAUUUGCAACAAUAAGAACAUCAUUGAUCCUUCCCAUAGGCCUUUUAAUGGUGGAAUCCGCAAGGUGCAGAUUUAAAGAGCAAUAAUCAAGAUCAUGGAAACCUAGAAUAUCACAUAAAGUUUCGGAAUCGUGGAAACACUAGCACCCAAAUCACACAAAGCAAAACACUCACAAUCUUUAAUUCUAAUCUUUAUAGUAGGUUCCCACUCAUCAUUAAGUUUUCUAGAUAUAGAAACUUCCAAAAUUAAGUUUUUCAUCAUAAGAUUGCAUCAAGGCAUCAACGAUAUGUUUGGUAAAAGUUUUAUUUUGACUAUAAGCAUGAGGAGAAUUAACAAUGGAUUGCAACAAGAAAAUACAACCUUUUAAAGAGCAAUUAUAAUAAUCAAAUUCCUUGAAAUCCGAGAUAGUAGAUUCAAUAUUAUUAGAAGUUGAGGAUUCUCCAAUCUCACUUUUACCAAAUUUAGCAAUAAGAUCUAAAGAUUCCGAAUUCUUGGGACGCCUUCUAGGCAAAGUUGAUUCAUCAUCAGUCCCAUUAUCAUCAAAAUUCAUAUUGCAAAAUAUAGAUCUAAUAGGAGACACAUCAAUAACUUUAAGAUCCUCAUCAUUAUUUUCACCUAACUUUUCUGGUUCAGCGGCCAUCUUAUUGACUAAGGUGGCUUGCUUAUCAGAAAUUUUGGCUAUAGUAUUUUCAAGACGGGUAAUUUGAGCAUUAACACCAUAAAAUUCUUCAUUCAUAUCAUCAAGCUCUUUGUUCCUAAACCCCAAAAAACCUUUUUGUUCCUUAAGCUCUUUUCUAAAGAAGUUAUUAUGCUAAAAUUGCAAAUUCAUAAAGCUUCUAAUAUUUGAUUCAAUCUCUUCCAUCCUUCUGAGAAGGUGGUCAUGACCCUUAGGCGAAGCCAUAAGGACAAACAGGCACACAAGCAAACAGAGAAGGGCAAGCGAAAGAGAGGAGGAGAUUGCGAAAGAGAGGGCGAAUAAAACGGCAAGGGUGAAGUGGGGGAGAGGAAAACAAGAGGCAAAUGGUAAAUAAUGUAAAUGCGAGGGAGAUGGGUUUGUGAUGGGUACUUGGUAUGUCUUGACUUGAGCGAAGACCUCCCCGGCAACGGCGCCAGAAAUCCUUCUUGCUACGUCUUGAGCUUGCGCUGGUUUUCCUCGAAGAGGAGAGGGUGAUACAUCAAUAGUAGCGUAAGUAUUUCCCUCAGUUUUUGAGAAACAAGGUAUCAAUCCAGUAGCUGGCUCCUCAAAAGUCCCACGCACCUACACAAACAAACUGAGAACUCGCAACCAACGCGAUAAAGGGGUUGUCAAUCCCUUCACGGCCACUUGCGAAAGUGAGAUCUAAUAAAGAUGGUAAGAUAAGAUAAAUAUAUUUUUGGUAUUUUAUAAUAUGGAUGCAAAAAGUAAAGAUGCAAAUAAACAUAGAAUGAAAGCAAAUAUGAUAAGAGAUAGACCCGGGGGCCAUUGGUUUCACUAGAGGCUUCUCUCAAGAUAGCAUAAGUAUUACCGUGGGUGAACAAAUUACUGUCGAGCAAUUGAUAGAAAAGUGCAUAGUUAUGAGAUUAUCUAGGCAUGAUCAUGUAUAUAGGCAUCACGUCCAUAACAAGUAGACCGACUCCUGCCUGCAUCUACUACUAUUACUCCACACAUCGACCGACUCCUGCCUGCAUCUAGAGUAUUAAGUUCAUAAGAUCAGAGUAACGCAUUAAGCAAGAUGACAUGAUGUAGAGGGAUAAACUCAUGCACUAUGAUAUAAACCCCAUCUUAUUAUCCUCGAUGGCAACAAUACAAUACGUGCCUUGCAACCCUUUCUGUCACUGGGUAAGGACACCGCAAGAUUGAACCCAAAGCUAAGCACUUCUCCCAUGGCAAGAAAGACCAAUCUAGUAGGCCAAACCAAACUGAUAAUUCGAAGAGACUUGCAAAGAUAACUCAACCAUACAUAAAAGAAUUCAGAGAAGAUUCAAAUAUUAUUCAUAGAUAAACUUGAUCAUAAACCCACAAUUCAUCAGAUCUCAACAAACACACCGCAAAAAGAGUUUACAUCGAAUAGAUCUCCACAAGAGAGGGGGAGAACAUUGUAUUGAAAUCCAAAAAGAGAGAAGAAGCCAUCUAGCUAAUAACUAUGGACCCGUAGGUCUGUGGUAAACUACUCACAACUCAUCGGAGGGGCAAGGAUGUUGAUGUACAGGCCCUCCAUGGUCGAUUCCCCCUCCAACAGAGUGCCCGGCGAAGGCUCCAAGAUGGGAUCUCGCGGAUACAGAAGAUUACGGUGGUGGAAAUUGUGUUUCGUGGCGCCCCUGGAUGUUUUCGGGGUACAUAGGUAUAUAUAGGAGGAAGAAGUACGUUGGUGGCCGCCCGAGGGGCCUACGAGACAGGGGGCAUGCCCUACAGGGGGGCGCAGCCUCCUAUCUCGUGGAGCCCUCGACUGCUUCUUGACUUGCACUCCAAUCUCUCCGGAUCACGUUCGUUCCAAAAAUCACGCUCCCGAAGGUUUCAUUCCGUUUGAACUCCGUUUGAUAUUCCUUCUCUUCGAAAUACUGAAAUAUGCAAAAAAAACAGCAAUACAGGCUGGGCCUCCGGUUAGUAGGUUAGUCUCAAAAAUGAUAUAAAUGUGUAAAAUAAAGCCCAUAAACAUCCAAAAGAGGUAAUAUAAUAGCAUGGAACAAUCAAAAAUUAUAUAUACGUUGGAGACGUAUCACCCAGUUGCACAGAACAUGCUGCCUAGUUGCGUGCGCUGUGUUAGUUUGAGGAUCAAGCUAAAAAUCUAACUUGUUUUUCCUGUUCUACCCAUAGGCAAUUACAAUCCAAGUACCAUGACGGGACGUGCUACUCCAAGUGUUUUUUCAACUUAACCUGCACACAUCAACCAGUUAGGUGCACAGCAUGGGCUGCGUGGUUGCAGAGAACAUUAGUGCUGGUUGCACAACAAAAAAAGUACUAAAUUUUUUAUAUGAUUAUUACACAGGUGAUCGUGAUGGUCCUACUGCCCCGUUGGAGGAUGCAUCCCCUGCACAAGCUUCUGAUGACUUUGUGCCCAGGGAUCCUCCAAGGUCUACUACAAAGGGUAGGGCAAAAAGUUGACGGUACAAAUCGGCGCUGGAGCUACACCCAAAGAAGAAAAACAAAUGCAACCAAUGCCAAUCUACAGAGCACACUGCUGGUGUGUGUGUCCACUCAGGCUACUGUGAUUCUGUUUCACCAUUUGUAACUUUGAGACAAAAAAGGAAAAGAAUGAUGUUUUUUAGCAAUGCUGGGACCAAGUAGACACAUUCAGCAUCUAUGAUUUCUCUUUAUCUAAUUUAUGCUCCUUGAAUUAUUUCAUGCACUGUGUAAAAAAUGUUGCUAUUUGUACCUUUGUUGGCAACUGGUUAAAUAUUUAGUUGUUGAACAAUUGUAUGUCAAGUGCUCCUAAUAUAUCAACAAAAGUGAUGAUAUUGACUUGCAAACGGAAUUGCUACUAGUGUGCAACUACAAAAUCUGCUUAAAAAUUGUGCAAACCAGCAACUACCUCCAUGGAGCAGAGAAAGAAAAAGAGUACUGACCUAGUCCUUGUCGUAUCUCAGCAACUUCCUCCAUGGGGCGGUGUUGUGCACGCUGGUGACCCAGUCAUAUGCCAUCUUCUUCCUGAUGUUGAGUACUUCCUUGGGUUCGUAGUUGGGCAGUUGGCUAUCGUUCCACUCGGUGGCGUUAAGCAGUGCGAACAACCCACACUCAUUACUGCGAUGGGCAAGAAAAGAAAAUUUGUCACAUAAAAUUAAAACCAAAUAAAGAUAAUGCACUCUGUGCAACUGCUUAUGUUCUACUGUGCAACUGUUUAUGUUCUACUGUGCAACUACUUAUGUUCUACUGUGCAACUUCUUAUGUGCCACUAUGCAACUGCUUAUGUGCCACUCUGCAACUGGCUAGAUAAUCCAUUAGAAACUCAUAAAAAUGAUAAACAGAUUGCAGACUAGUACUGUGUCUUAAAAAACUAAAGAUUGCACAUGUAGAAAAAUUUAAAAACUACAAAAUGAUGGUAAGAAAUUGAGAAGAGAGCCAUGCUUAUUGUCUUACUUGCCGAGCUGCUUCGGUACGUCAAUGUAAAUAAUCUGAAAGUGCUCGAUGCUGAAAUUUGGGUAAUGCUUCCUCCAUAGCUGGCGUACUGCCCCCGCGAUGGUAGAGGCGGUGGUCAUCAGCUCAAUGUCAUCUAGCGUCCUGCUUGAAUCAAGAACUUCGAAGCGUCCGUCCCUCAAGUUGACAUUGAAGACCCAAUAAUGCCUCCCUCCCUCCUUAUCGGUUACAUCAGUGCACUCGAGCACUGGCAGCAUGACCUGCAAGUGUGAACGAUUUCAGACAUAGAUACAGGCUGUAGCUAAGAAAAAACAGUAAAAGACUUGGUCAAGUUAAAACAUGUUGCAACAAGUAUGUGCCAACUAACAGAUGUGCCAUGUGCAACUGAACAUGCUGUGGGUGUCAACAAAAAGAGAUGGAUCAUGUGGGCACAACACUCACCAAGUCCUUCUUGUCGAGACGGUUCUUGUAAUCAAACUUCUUGUUUAUCUCUUUCACGUUGUGGAUACCUUGCUGUAAAUUCAUCUGCAGAGAUUAUAAAGCAUGGCUCAAACUCCUUAGUAGAUGAAAGGCCUCCCUCAAUUGGUCAACAAAAAAGUGCUACAGAACAAAGAUGAGGGUAAGGAAGGUUUUGGAAAAACUUACCGAAAAACUCAGUGGCAUAACAACCUUCUUUGACCCUUCUAGUAAGCUCUCCAUGAUGUGUAAGAUUCCAGUCUCAAUAACAAUUUUUGACAGCCAUUGAACCGGCUUCAUCGAAUCAACUAACUCCUUUAAAGAAAUGUAGAAAUCACCAUACCUGAUUAUCUCAGGGCUGAAUUUUUUUUGAAAGCAAUAAAAAGACAAGUUAGCUCGAAGGGUCAUAGUAGCAAAAAAAAUGUGCAUGAAAUUGAAAAACAGAACAGUGUGCAACUAAAAGCCCUGUUCUGUGCAACAUGCUAUGCUUUCUGUGCAACUAAGUGGCUGGUCUUGUGCAACUGAAAAAGAUAUGUAUGUAGGCUGUGGGGAGUUAGUUUACCUGGUAGCUUCAUCAUUUGCUCCUUCAUGAUGCCUGGCCCAACACAAGAGGGCAGCGUAAAGCUUGUUCACUGCCUCAUUGGAGCUGAAAGACUUCUUCUUGUUGUAGUCAAUGAAUGGAGACCUUUGAGAUGCCGCGAGCCUUAUUACCGUCCUCUGUCUUCAUGCAAUAGGUGGUCCUGAAGAACAGCUCGUGUCAGCUUCUGGUUCUGCGCAUAUCGGGGUGUGGCAAUUCUCUGGUGAUCCAACAUCUAGCUCUUGAGCUAUUGCCUUGCCAGCAUCAGCAGCAGCGCAUCCUUCAUUCACAGCUGCUGGGUCCAACUCACACUCAUCAAUACUAAUCACACCGGCUUCCGCUGUUUCUGCUGCUGGAGCAGGUGCUGGAGCAUGACCAUCUAUGCCGAGGUCAAAAGAUGGUGCAUCACAGAACCCGUCACCAUGAUAAGACUUUAAUCUUCGUAUGGGUUCAAGGACUAGGGCAUCUCCUUGCGGCACAAACAUGGGUGCAUCAUUCACUGACUUGGUUCGUGAUAGUGUUGUAGUUGGCAGCCUUGGAGGCUUGCACCUACUUAUAAUCUUGAACACCUCCUCUUGUGUUAAUGGUUGCUGAAAGUCAGCUCUUGGUGAUGCAGGCUUGCUUGGCUGUUGUGUGCUGGCUCUUGGGGACGGCAAUUUGGUAGUAGGAUCACCUCCUUUUGUGUUUGGCAUUGAAGCAUCUCUAUGAGUAGGCACUUUGGGGCUUGCAGUUGCAGUGGUGCCUUCCUGAGCAGAUGUGGUGGUUUUGACUAUGACCACGCUGCUAACUGACACAUCAGUUGGCACACUGGUAUCUGUAGUUGGCAUCUUUCCAGUCUGAGUUGGCAGCAACCUAGCAGAACUUGGCACCCCUGCAUCAAUGGUUGCAGCUCGCAGUUCUCUCUCGUCUCUGAACCCCAAAUCUUUUGUGGCCUGUUCCCCCUUUGUGCCGCUGGCAAACUUGACAAUCUUUUGUUGCUUAGGUGGUUUUGGUGGGACUGUUGAAAGGGGAGUCUUCCCCUUGAUCUGUUGAACUCCUGUUAUGGUGGUUGGCUCUCUGCUCACUACAGUUGGCAUAUCAGUUUGAAGCACAGCUUUCUUGACCAUAUUUACUUCAGCAUCUGCACUCACCAUCUUCUCCUUGGUUUGAGGCAAAUGUAGAUUCUUCUUCAUUGAAACUUCUUUACGCUUCUGGACCACGUGAGGGUUUGCCAUGGAUGCUACCUUGCUCUUGCCGGAGCUUAGGUCUCGAAGCUGCUUCAAAUAUUCCUUGUAUUUUUCCUUUGAAUGAACCCAGUCAAGACCCUUUCCUGCUUUCUCCAUGUCAAUUUGAUUCUUUUCAGCAACACUUGAUAAGAACGGGCUCUUGUCAAUGGCAACGUUGAUCUUCUCACACAUAUCUUGGUCGCUAAAAUAUGGCACAGGAAAGGUGGUUGGCAAAGCUGGCUUCAAGUUGCAGAGCUUGAACAUAUCAAUGCUGCACUGGGACUCUGCUUCGUCAUUUUUCUUUGACUUCGGCAAAUCCUUGUCUUCCAGCAAGUUUUGUCAAUUAGCAUCUGUAGUGUGCUCCUGCUACUCAGUGAAUUGCUGCUGCUGGCAGGAGUGGCAGAAGUGCUAGUCCUACUGGAUGUGUUGCCGCCUGUACGACCAGAACCAGGGGCAUUGUCAUCAUCAUCAUCAUCGCUGCUGUCGCUGCCUCCACUGGAUCCCCCUUUAUCAUCACCAUAACCCACCUCGUCUUCUUCUUCAUCAUCUUCUUCCCUCUCACUGCCAUCAACUGCUGCACCUUUGUCCCCGUCCACCUCUUUGGCCUCACCUUCUUCUUCCUCCUCCUCUGCCUCACUAUCUUCUUCCUUGUCCUCCUCCUCUCCUUUGUCCUCUUCUUGUUUGUCCUCCUCCUCCUCCUCCUCCUCCUCUUCCUCCUCCUUCUCCUCCUCUUCCUCCUCCUCUUCCUCCUCCUCCUCUGCAUCUUCUUCAUUGUCAUCCUCAUCCUUGUCCUCAUCCUCUGAUUCAUCCGCAUUUGUGUCGUCGUCAUUGUCAACAUCUAUCGCUGCUUCCAUUUCCUCAUCUUCUUCUGACUCAUCCUCAACAAACUCUUCUUCUUGUUGUAUAAUUGACCCCCGUCUCUUUCUUUUUGGAGCACGGCGUGACGCCCCGGUUUGCAUUGAUGGCUGCUGUACGUAAGGAUCAAUAUCCGGUUCCUCAUCAUCAAUCUUGGCAACUGCUUCAAUGAAGGUGCCAACCUGUUCAGUUACAGCCUUGCACAGGUCAUUGACCACUUUCGCAAUCUUUGCCUUUUUCUGCAUCAACACAAAAAAAAGAUUCAAUAUUGAUUCAGUUAGAAAAAAUUAAAAAGUAAAAUGUUUGUAACUGACCAUGAUGUGAUAAGCAAAAACCGACUAAUACACACUUUUUGGCCAACUAAAAACAUGAUUCUAGCCAACUACACAUGCACUGUGGCACAAACUAAAAACAUGCAUUCUACCCAGUUGAUGUCAAUGGUUGUAAACGAACACUUUGACUGUCAAAAAGAACAUGUGCAACUAUAGAAGCUUAUAUGUGCAACUGAACAUACAUCACAACCAACUGAAUCCUUUAUUCUCGCAACUACAAAAGUUAUACAUGUCCAACUGAACAUACAUCCCAGCCAAAAGAAAAUGUUGGUAAGUGGUACAAAUUUAUGUAUGCAAAACACUAACCUGCGGAUUGUAGGUUAUUGGUAACUUGGAUGCCACGAAUGCUUCAGCUUGCAAAAUUCCACCAAACAGUGGUGUCUGCUCCGUGCCUCUAUACUCCUCUUUAAGCUGAUGUAAAAAAACAGAAAAAGAAAAGAACAAGGUUAUCAAAACAAAUUUUUGUGUUAAACAAAACCAAACAUUAUAACCUGUGCAACUACAACAAGAUACUAUGGUAGACAAUUCGACUAUACAUAUAUGCAACUGAACAAAGAUACAAAAACUGUGCAACCCACAUGGCACCUAAAUUUUUUUUCUACCAACUGAUGCCACACAUCUAUGCAACAAGAUUAGUAAAACUGUGCAACUUAAAAAAGAUGGUGUGCCAAUUUAAAAUGAACAUGUGUGCAGAUGCCAAACUUAAAGCUACAAGCUGUGCAACUACAUGAAUUGUUGUGCCAACUGAUGACAGUUUUUGUGCAAUUUCCAAAAAAGUGACUAGACAUCAAAAGAACAUAAAAAAAGAGACUGUUGGAAAAAAACAAAGAGAACUCACUUGUAAUUUGCCGAACACACCAGGAGAGACGGUAUCAUUCUUCAUCACCUUGGCAAUUAGAGUACCAUCCCAUGCAUUCGGUCGCAUCGCGCAGUUGCUUACUGGGAUGUCAUGGACAAGCGCAUCAAGGUAUAGUAUCUUCACCAGACCCAACAAAAGAAAAGCCAAGUUCAGUUAUUAUUAUGAGUAUUUCAGCAAACUAUAACUGCACAAAAAGAAAAAGAACAGAUGGAAGUGGUCGUUUUCACUAACCAUCAAGUGAUACAAGCAGCAGCAAACAGUUUGCUUCUCCUGGUCCAUGUUCCGGAAAGCUUCGUUAAUGUGUUCUGCUACAAAAAGGCAGAUGUUUGUGUUCUUGAGGUUUUCAUGAUCAAGGCCGUGGUUGGUGCUAAGAAAGUGUUGAAGGCAACUACAAGCCAGGCCAUAAAGAAUGUGUCAUCCGUUCUUCCCCCCAUAUCCUUAAUCAUCGUGGUCCAUGUACUGAUCUGGGGAUGAGAAGUUCCAGUUAUGUUGAAGGUCUCUCUGAAUCUCCUAGUUGUUUCCUUGUCAACUUUGUAACAGACUUUUAGACCCCUGUUAGGAAGAUCAAAUACCCUUUGAACACUGUCAGCAUCGACACGGAUCCUUCCCCUUCCUAGGAAAACCAUUUCAGAGGUCUGUGGCUGGUAGGACUGCACCAGGAACUUAGUGAGGUCUGCUGGAAGUGUGUCUGACAAGUUCAAUAGCCCCCCGAACAAACUCUAAACUAGCUCUGACUUCUGUGGUGGGGUUAGAGAGGCGUUGAAAUUUGCAAACCGCGCUGGUGAUGCCCUUAUCCUGCCUGCUUGUGAUGGUCGCUCCACAUCUUCCCCUGCAGCCACCUCAACUCCUUCACCGCUGGCCUGUUAAUGAGAAUAUAAAAACAUUAAGGAAACAUUAAAAACAAGAGAAAAAAUAAGAAUGAAAAAAAAAUCUAACAAUCAUCAUUUGGAUCAGUAUUGGAAAAAGCUAUAUAUUCAUAAAAUGGAUCAUGCCAACUAAUAUGGUGUAUUUGUGCAACUAAUAAAGACCAUGAGGACAACUAAAGACUGCCAGUGUGCAACCUUCAAAAAAAACUAAGAAAAUAUACGAUACCUGGCAACUACAAAAAGUUCUAACGGAUGUGCAACAAUAAGAAAUGAUAUUGCAACAAGAUAACAACAACUAAAAAAAGGUUUGCAAGGAACUGUUCAAUAGCUCAUAAACACACAAAAAAACCACAUACCUCAGCAUCCGUUGCGGAAGAUGCGACAGGUCCUCCAGCAACUGUUGCCUGCACAAAAAAAUGACCAGUGAUGUCAACUAUAAAGAAGCCAACUUGUCAACUACAAGAUGCCAACUAAUGCCAACUAAUGUCAACUGUAUUUAGAUCAAGAUGGCUAGAGAUGUCAACUACAAGGUUGUUAUUGACAAACUAAAAACAAAAAUGGUGGUGAGACCUGCUGCAUAAUUUCAUCAGCGUCUAAAAAGCGAGAAACACUUAUAUUCGAGAAUUUACUUGCCCUAGAAGAUGACUCAACUCCCUUUCCAACUGUUGCACGUCUAGUCCGCUUUACAACACGGAACUGAUCAGCAUCCUAAGAAAAAAUAAAAAACCAAAAAAUGGGCUUGUGUCAUCAGCAUGCCACUUACCUCAACAUCCUCUCCUUGCUCAACACUCCGCGCAAGUCGUGCCUGGCGAUUAGGAGGACGCUUCGACCUCCAGCGAAGCGACUGACUUCCAGAACGCUGAUUAAGCAACCCAAAAAGAAAACAUGAAAAAAGGACAUUAGCAUACAUGCAUAAGUUGAAAACAACUCAAAAACACAGAAAAAGUGAAAAAAAAAGACAUCUUCUUCAUUGCCAUCCGCUUCUCCUCCUAUUAUAACCAUUUUUGCCCUGCAGGAGGAAAUAUAACAAAAGAAAACAUAGUUAGAAGAUGCGGAAACAAACUAGGGAAAUCAUAGAAGGUUGCUUUGAUUUGCAGACAUCUACACAUAAGCAGGACACAAAAAGCAAAAAACCAAAAAACAUGUGGACAACCAACUACUACAAUGAUGUAGCCAACUGGGCAGUAAACCUUGUGCAAACUAGACAACAUAUAAACCAACUAACUAUUUUCUGCCUAGGUCUUACUUGCCAACUGUGACAAGUAAUAACUAGGCAGAAAAUAGUUAACUAAAGGCAACAAGCUCAGUAAGAUAACUUGUGCAAACUGGAACAAGCAAAAAAUGCAAAGCAAAAAAUCCAGCAAAACAAUUGGGCAUACUAUAUUGAAAAAUUAGCAACCAUUCAGUGCUAAUUUGCAAAAAUAAUUGUCCCUAGUUGCACAUGAGGGGAACGCAUGAAAACAACCACAUCCACAACAAAGACUUGCACAUUGAGAAAAAUUAAAUUGGAAAAUUGGCAAGUAUUGGUACUAAUUUGCACAAUCAAGGGGCCCCUAGUUGCACAAAGCAGGAGAAAGCACAUGAACCACCACAGCCACCAUAAUGCUGGUGGAUAGGGUAGACUAUAUUGGAAAACUGGCAAGCAUUGAUGCUAAAUUGCACAGACAAGAGUCCCUAGUUGCACACAGCAGAGGGGGGAAAACAGCAAAGCCAACUAAGUAGAGCAACUAGCACAAAGUGUAUAACAUAUGAACAGUCAACUAGUAAAAGUGAUGCAGCCAACUGAGCAGGCAACUUGUGCAAUUGAAUACCGUAUAGACAACCAACUAGUACAAACAGUGAGCCAACUGACCAAAACAACUGCUGCAACUGCAGAGCAUAUGGACAGCCAGGUACUAUAUGGACGCAGCCAACUGAGCAGAAUUUUGUGCAACUAACCACUUGAAUUACUGAAUCAUGAACUUGCAGGAUCAGGGAAAAUCAGCCAAUGCAUUGCACAUUACAUUGCGCGCAUCUAAUACAACUUGCAGGAUGACUAAGAAUCAUGAACAGAUCUCAAACCUCUGCAAAAUUGAACAGAACAUGAACUAAACAGCCAAAUCGCCCUAAAAUCGCAACGGGCGCCAUGGACAUGCAUCCCUUCUACCUAACGACUACCACGUACCCUGGCCAACUACACGUUGACCCUGGCUAGCCACCCCCGUGCCGUCAAGGGAGUACUAAUUUGCACAAGUGAUGAUAUCUAUUUGCACACGGCAGAAUAAAAAAACACGUGGACCACCACAUCCACCACAAGGCUGGCAGAUUGGGUACACUAUAUUGCAAAAAAUGGCAAGCCUUGGUGCUAAAUUGCAAACAAGGGUUCCUAGUUGCACACAGCAGCGGGAAAACACACGAACCACCAGAUCAAUCACAAAGGAUGGCAGCUUGGCUAGUUAAUGUUGGGAAAUUGGCAAGCAUAGAUACUGAUUUGCACAAAAAAAUGGUCCCUAAUUGCACACAGCAGGGAAAAACACAUGACCCAGGAGAACCACCACAAGGCUGACACAUGGCUAUAUUGUCUCAAAAAUUGUCUACUGCUGCUCCUAUUUUGCACGCAAGGGGCAACACAGUUGCACACCGCGGGGGGAAAACACUCAUCAAAAACACCAGAUCCACCGCGAGGCUACAAUCCACAAACGAACCUCUAUGGCCGCUAACCAAUCAUCCUCCCUGAACCACUCAUCCCGUACGUAUAUACACGAACUCUCCCCCUAUUGCAAUGCAAAAACGACGGGAUGAGCACGACCCUAGCCCAUCCCUGCCAAUCCGGCGGUUUCCCAAACGAAGUAGUCCGCGGGGGUGACCUCAACCUCGCCGGAAAAUGAGUUCGACCUUCCUACCCCCGACCGUGACCUCGAGUUCGACCUUUACCUCGACCUCACCGAAAAAUGUGGGACCUCACCGGAAAAAAGGAGGGGAUGGGGACGAGUACCGGGGAACGCAUGGUAGGAGCAGUACCUGUGCCGCCGCGGACAACGACCCUCGCGGUGCGCCCCGCCGUUGACCACAACCAAUGGCGGAUUUGGAGCCGCCUCCGAGCACCAACCAGCGGCGAGAGCAGGGGGAAAGAGGAGGAAUGGGCGGCGACAGGUGCGGGGUGGACGGGGUAAUGGCACGAAAUUCGAAACCGCCACCCACUACGCACGACGGCUAUCACGCUGGGGAACUGCCUAAUCCUCUAUGACGUGUGGGUCCGUCGGGAAGUUUAUCUCGCGCGGCGCGGCUCGAUCGGACCAGGCGAUCGGUCCACGCGCGGUCCGAGCGGCGCGGCUCCACCACCCGACCAGGGAACACCUGGACAUCGCGCGCCGUCGAUCGGAACGAGAUCGAGCGGCUCUCGUUCGGCCGCUCGUUCUCUCUAGAUAGUGCGCGUGUAUUUUUUAGGUUUUGGGAUAAAUAAACUGUGAGAUGCUUUCACGGUGGGCCUUUGCCCAUCCCGUACUAUUCCACUCCACCGCCGCCAUCCAUCUCUCAUCCCAACCUACCUAUUCCAGCCGCCUCCAAGCUAUGGAGAAGCCAGUGAAGGUGCCGAUGUCCAGGCUCACCGACGACCUAAUCGCGGAGAUCCUCUCUCGGGUGCCCUACAAAUCACUCUGCAUCUGCAAGUGUGUGUGCCCGGCCUGGCGCGACCUCAUCGCCGACCCCGCGCACCGGAAGAAAGUUGUGCAGACCCUGGCCGGCUUUUUCUACCGCAUCACCGGCGAGGUCACGGCCGUCAAGUACGCCGACCUGUCCGCCUUCCCCUGGUCGAGCGUUCCCAAGACCUACCCACGCCUGCCACUGCCAACUGACAACAAUUUCUUCUCUCUUGAGGAUUCCUGCGAUGGAUUGUUUCUUGCCCGCAUUCGGACGGGCACCCCUGCUGGAAAAUUUCGCUACAUGGUCUCCAAUCCGGCCACGAAUGAGUACACUGUGCUGCCUGACUCUGGCUCCGCCGGCAACAUCUGCCUUGCUUACCUGGGUUUCGACAGUGAUGUUUCCACUCAAGAGUUUCAUGUGUUCGAGUUUGUACUGGUCCUCCGUGAGCCAUCCCUGGUUGUGAGGGGAGUGAAUAUUUACUCUUCAAAAACUGUUGCAUGGGUAGCAAUGGAACCCAAAUGGGACAUCCAAGUUACGUUGUGCUGGCGUAAACCAGGAGUUUUCCGUAAGGGGUUUCUGCACUUGCUGAUAGGUCAGUUUGGGUUGGCAAUACUUGAUGCAGAAGGGCUAACAUGGAGAAUUAUCCCGCUUCCAGUUGUAGAAAGUGUUAAUCCGUGUUUCUCCGGAUUCAUUGGAAAGUCUGCCGGACAGCUAAUUUAUAUCGACCGCGGUGCUAUUGAAGGACACGGCUCUAAUGCAUUGUUGACUAUAUCAGUUUACGUUCUUGGUGCUGAGAUAUGUCAGUGGGAUGUGACUCACCUGGAUGACAAGUGCAUGCGUUGGAAACUCUUGCACAAGCUUUCAAAUGUACUCCGAAGAAGAUGUUUCGGCUCUGUUUCAACCUCGAAGUCAUUGCAGUACACCCACAUGCCAAUAUAAUCUUCUUUGUAGCUCAUUGGAAGAAUGAACUGGUUGCAUACGAUCUGGAUCGUCAUGAGAAGCACAAUUGUGUAUCACAUUCACAUUGAGCCUAACUACUGGCAGUUUAUGAAUUUUUUCCCAUAUGUUCCAUCGUUGUCCCGCUUACCACUGGAUGGAGGAAUACAGCUGGCAACUCCAAAUCAAUGAAUGUUCUGCUCAUUAAAAGUUGGGCAGUCAGCGGUGAGGUGCUCCGGUGUGUUCUCAAGAGUAAUCUUCACAGAGAUUCAAAUACAGAUGAUAUUGUUUUGGAAAAUGCUAACUUCAGUUUUCAGUUCAGUUGGAAAAUGCCAACAAGUAGAGCUGCAUGAGAUACCUUAGUUUGUUAUAUUUUGACAUGUACUACUACUACCUUGUAUUUCUAUUAGAAUCUUAUGUUCUGAUAUGAAAAGGCAUAGUCUGAUAUGUGCACAUUCAAUCUGCAUUGGUUGGUUCUAUCUUGGUGUUUGCACUAAGNNNNNNNNNNNNNNNNNNNNNNNNNNNNNNNNNNNNNNNNNNNNNNNNNNNNNNNNNNNNNNNNNNNNNNNNNNNNNNNNNNNNNNNNNNNNNNNNNNNNNNNNNNNNNNNNNNNNNNNNNNNNNNNNNNNNNNNNNNNNNNNNNNNNNNNNNNNNNNNNNNNNNNNNNNNNNNNNNNNNNNNNNNNNNNNNNNNNNNNNNNNNNNNNNNNNNNNNNNNNNNNNNNNNNNNNNNNNNNNNNNNNNNNNNNNNNNNNNNNNNNNNNNNNNNNNNNNNNNNNNNNNNNNNNNNNNNNNNNNNNNNNNNNNNNNNNNNNNNNNNNNNNNNNNUUAUAUUCAUAGAAGUUUGCAUACGUAUGAAGCAUAUAUUGUGAUCACGCUGUCUCAAAAGGCUGAGAAAUGUCAAUGUUGAUGAUCCGUAAUCCUAGCUGGUUUAUAUCUGUCUCACAAAAUGGUCAAAAUCUCCUAAUAGGACUUGGAACCGUUUCUUGCUCCAUUUUUUCUUCUUCUAAUGGCUCCAAAUUCCAUGUCUAGAGUAUGUAGUUACGUUUUCCUGUCCUCUUUCGAUCUUUCAAUUUUGUUGGUCUGUGAUAUGAUUCCACUAUGAGAGGCACUAAUAUCUUCCCCCCUGUAAUUAACUAGUAUGUUCCAGUUCCAUCAGUUUGAGAUGAAAGUGUAUCCCUGAUUUGAAGCUUUUUACUAUUCACCAACCAAUAAACUAAAUAUUUUAGCCCUCACCUAUGGAAUCUUCGUCUAUAUCUGAACCUGACUGUUUUUGCUAGCAGCUUUCAAGAUUCUAUGUGCAAAAUGAAAGGUCCUAGUCCAUCUUUCUUUGGCUAACCAGAGUAGUUGCCUUGUCUCUACCAGUAUCAAAACAGACAGUGUAAUUUGCACUAUGCUGAUCACUCAGAUGUGGAGUAGAAUUAAUCAUUUCAGGGACAUGUUUAGUACAAUGAUAGAAUUAUUUUUUCCCAGUAGAUAAGCAUGUCAAUGUGUAUUCCGCUGAAUAAUGUGAAGCAUAUUGGCUGCUAAACCUUGCAUGCCCUCUAUUCCCUCUAGUAAUUAUCUACGGUUAUAUCCUCACUCGGACAGAAUUUUGUUAGCUCUAUGCUAAUUCUGUAUAAAUAAUGGUUACCAAUAUUCAUGUGAAGUUCUUAAAAGUCUUCUGUUGAGUCAAUUCUUGAGUAACGUAUAUAUACAAAUUUAGAGAAUCAUUACCUGUUCUUCUGUAGCCAUCUCUGCCUUGCUGUGAGGUGGCAAGAGGCAGUUUUCUUUAUGUUGGGUUGUUAUUCUGUUUUGCAGACUCAAAUAAGCAGCGUAUCAGUUACACGAAACCUCAGAUUUGACGCAGACCUCAUUGGUUGGCUGCCAAAGCCGUGGGGUUAGUUUGCUUAGUACACUCACUACAUAGUUUUUAGCUUUCUCUGCUGUGCUUUUCUCGCCUUUUUCUAUACAGAUCAAAUGUCUCAUACCUUAUCUGUUUUUUCUAAUUAUUUGCUAUCGCUGCAGUGCAGCGAUUUUAGACUGAUCUAAGCCCAGAUUAUGCUGUGGAAGACAGAUUCAUCAGAGGUUGCCUGAUCUAAGCCUAAUCUUCUACCCCUUUCAAGCACAGUUAGUGUUCGGAUGCCAGUCGGCGGAUGCAUCGGCCAAGCAUCAAUCAGUUCACUUCCAUCAGCAGGCUACGUUAGCACGGCGACUUCGUCGAGAUUGUUGGAUGGGUACCCACAGACUACGAAGCCCAAGAAACAAUGGGUAAACUCAAAGUCUGUAUAAUGUUGGUGAAAUUUGGGGACAUAAAUAAACUUAAGCAAGGCGAGUCGGCCAGGCAGUGGAUGACUAUCACCCCGCAGCAGCUAAGCAGGAAACGCUGGAUGGACCGCACCAUGCCGCCGUUUCCGUAUAUACAGAUGCAGAGCAAGAUGAAAGCUGCAGCCUCUCGUUCUGGCUACAUCGCAGAUUCAGAGAAAUAUUUGCUGGCUCUUAAUACGACACCUCAUAUUUGGCAAUAGUGACAACUUUAGAAAGACCUGUUGUUGGUGACGACGCUGAAUAGGUGCCAUCUGAUCCACGGCGUUCUUCGUGGCAAACACCGCAGCGCCGGACACGAGUCAGGUUUGAAGACCCUGUGUGCAUGCCUACGAGCUGCAGAUGCUUCAUGUGGCUAGCUGCCAAUAUUAGAUGCUGGACAGCGGAUAUGCUUCGACGCCGUGGGCUUUCAGCGACCAGCUGCCGGAGACGAUGUCACAUUUGCUGCUUGGCUUUGUCGUCGUGCGAGAGGUCUGGCAUUCCGUCCUCCACGAACGGCAGCAUAUGGAGUCGAUGUCUGACCACGACUAUAAGCUGAUUUACAUGGUGAACAACACAGUCAACGCGACGAAGGGAUGCAAGAGACAUGUGGAUAGCCGUCCUGUCUGGCAGUGCGGUGAAUGAUGUGAUCUUCAAUGACGUGGAGGUUUAAGGAGGCAUUGCUGUCUAUACCUACAAGAAGAGAAUGUGGACAUUUUUGUCUUGAGGAACUGGGUUUAGCUUUGACAGAUUUUGCUGUGCAACCGUGCCACUGUUCAACUCUGAGUAUAGUCUGUUGUCUGAACAAGUUAGCAGGAGCAUAGUCGGCACCAGAAGAUUUGGCAAAUAACUUCAGAAAUCUUGAUUGAACAUGGAUAUAUUAUUUCCUGGAAGGUAAGUCUAUAUAUUCAACAAGUUAGUAGCUGCAUGAUUGAUAAAGAGAUGUGGGCAUAUACUAUUGUUAUCCUGAUUCUAAGUUCUAGACAAUAUACUUCAACAGCUGGAGCCAUAUCAUUAUGUACAUAUAGCCACACUUCACACAUGCAAAUCAAGCUGUUUGGUUACUGCUCAGACAAGUCAGUCAAGCUCUUGCUCUACAACUAUGUCCCUGAUGGUAAUCUACAGGAGCUCCUCAGCGAGAACAGGAGCCUGGACUGGGAUUCAGGGUGGACACGGUCCGGGCCGGUCCGGUCCCUGACCGAGCCACCGUUUGGACCGGCCGCCGGCGGUCCGGACCGGACCGGACCGACCAGCCUCGCGGUCCUGGUUUCAAGGACCGGACCGGCGGCACUGAAGCCCGGGCCGGACCGAGCGGACCGGCCAACCACUACCAGCGACGACGUGCACGGGUGCACGGGUGCGCUGGCAAGGUGGGCGACGUGCGCACGACUGUGGCGAGAUGGGCGACAUGCGAUAGCGCGGGCGUCGAAGGGCGACCUGCUAUGGAAAGUGAUCUGGGUGGCGCGGCUGUUAGCCAUUAUUUUCUCUGUACCGUGAUGUUUCUUCCUUUGGCAGUUUUUCUACAGCAUGCAAGCAAUAUAGCACCUGCAUGAGCCCGUGAUUUUCUCUGUGAGGGCCUCGCCGUGAUUAGAGGAUCAAAUUGAACGUGGAGUUGAUCGUCAAAUGGCGCCGUGACUUUCGGAUCAGAUCCUUUUUCUCUCUUACUUUCUAUUUUCUGUUCGACUGAAACGGCAGCACGGGAUUGAUGGCGCGUGAUAAUAGGAAGAGGGCCCUAGUAUUAAAUCUUGGGCCUUCCAAAACAAUACUUUCCUGAUUUAUUGGAUGUGAAAAUCAUGACCGAGUAUUUCCCCCACGAUUCGAAAAUCACGAGAGAGUGUUUCUCCCACGAUUCGACUGGGCUGAAACGGCUGCUAUGGCACUUCGUCUGCACUGCAAAAAGCGUUGCCAUGGCAGGAAUUGCUGCCACGGUUGGGUCGAUGACAUGGUCGAGAACUCGAGAUCGGCGGCAGUUCACGCAUGGCAGCGAUGGCGAGCGGCAGCAAAAGGCUACGUCGCAAGGGUACGAGAGGAAGGAAGAAGAAGGGAAGCUCAUGGACAUGGUGGUUCAUCCAGGGGCUGCCGGUGGCCGCGAUGGCGAGGAACGGUGACUGCGGUGAUCGCGUUUUCUCGGUCCGCUCGGUCGGACCGGUUAAAGACCGGACCGGACCGAGAUUUUUUCGGGCCGAAUAUGGCAGCCCGGACCGCCCCUUUUCGCUAGCGGGCCAGGACCGAGCGGGCCAAGACCGAGCGGGCCACGAGCGGGCCAGAAAGACCGCUCGUUACGUCCACCUCCGACUGGGAUACACGGUACAAGAUCGUGGUCGGGGCAGCACUGAUACUCUACCGGGAUGUCAAGUGCGACAACAUCCCACAUAACCGACAUCAACACACAUACGAAAGUAAGCACGUCGAUAGAAAGUAAAGUCAUACAAGACCGAGCUUGCCCACAUGAAAAAAAAACCGAUGCCAUCGAAACAACGAUUGACAAAAUGCAACAACGACCUAAUUGAACCGGGUGCUUAUCUCCACUGAUCUUGGUUUCUCAGUUGGUUUUGCUGAUCAGGCAUGGUAUUGUUUGGGCAGACUGGGUGAUGAUGUAGAGGGUGGUUAAAGGGAGUGGAUUCGCGAAAGUGCUCUUCUGAUCCCGAGCUUCAUGUGAGCUCGGGUGAACAGUAAAUGGAAAAAAAAUCUGAUUUUUUUGUUCCAAACAUUGGCAAAUGUUUUCAUUGCUUGCAAAAUUUUAUCAUGAAAUGACAUUCUUGAAAUUUGUGUAAAAAAUGAUGCUCCAAAAUACUUUUGAAAAUGAAAUUGCUGCUCAUAACAAAGCUCCAAAUUAGGGAGGUAGAAAAAUAGAUUGCGGUGAGUGUGGAUCGAACACAUGACCUUCAGAUCUUCAGUCUGACGCUCUCCCAACUGAGCUAUCCCUGUUAUAGCCUGUUGUCUAGGUGCAUAGUCUGCACCGGAAGAUUUGGCAAAUGGCAUAGAAAUUCUUAUUGAACAUAGAUAUAUUGUUCUUGGAAGGAAAGUAUAUAUAUUCAACAAGUUAGUACCACCGGUUGCCCCAACACAUGUGCAUCUGUAGCACCAACAGCUGCUCAUCUGUUGUCAUGCCAUCUCGCAACGACUAUAUGCAUCUGUAGUAAUUCUGACAGAAGAAGCAAUACAUUUUUAUCAACAUGAAAUUUGUUUGGUAAAAUCCAUGAGAACUUCAUCAGUAACCAAUUGAUUGAUACCCCACAUAUGACAAGCAAGCGUGUUCCUUUCCAAAAAACUUCAAAAUGGACAUCACUUUUUCAUGAGUUCUUUCGGGAGUAAAGUAAGGUAAGGUCUUUGGUCACCAUUUACCUACCAUUUUAGUUAGUUCUACAUGUACAACUGAUUCAGCAACUCGAAAGGAAUUCUUUAAAAGGAAAUCAGUUAAGCAACUCGAAUGAAUCCAUCAUGCAUUGGUCUCAAAUCCAAGGAAAUAUGAGCAAAACCUCCCAAAUCUAAACAAAGCACCGAACAUCUUUCAGACGGAAAUUAACUCUUUCAGAACCUUUCAAAAGAUGACAUAUCAAGGAUCAAAAUCGACCACAUAGAUUGAUGACCAAGACUUUAUCCAUUAGUCUGGAUGCCUCAUAUGAUGAUAAUUCCAACCAUGGAACCACAGGUGUGGUGAUCCGUGAUAGCCCACGUACUCUUAUUCAUACACAUGCCCUCUGGUAUGAUUUUGCUGCUAGUCCAAUGGCGACGGAAGCUGUGGUGAUGUGCAAUGGAGUGCACAUGCCUCUUGAGAGGGGGUUAUGUAGAGUAAUGAUUUAGAGUGAUGCACAAGCUGUCAUCAAGCUAUGGGAGUCAUGCGGCUUUGAUCGAGAUUGCUGGAGCCUUGCGGAUUGAAGAACUGAGUGUGCAUUUUGAGAGUUCUAUGCCGAGCUUUGUUGGACAAGAUGCUAGUAUGGCAGCUCAUCUAUGUGCUAAACUGGUGGCCAAGUUUAGGAAGAGAUGUUUAUGGCUUAAUUUUACCCCUCUACUCCUAAUGAACAUAUUGCAUUGUGAUUGUAUGCUUGAUUAAGUAAGCAAUAAAGCUCUUCACUCACAAAAAAGGUAGAAAUUGCAAUGCGGCCAUCCCAGCAUAUCAAAACAUUUCUGGUUGUGGCGAUGACCUUUCUUUUCCAUAUGAUCCUACAAAAUGGACUGGGUUUCACUAUCAAGGGAUAACGAAACGACAAAUGCACAAAAACGUCCUGGUGCAAGAACAUAGCCUAAAACUGGUUUCAAUUGCUAACAACAAAAGCUAAUGGAUCCAAAUCUACUGCAAGUUGACUUGGGGUUCACAAUCAUCCCAAGCAAAAUGUUUUCGAUCACUAGCAUCAUCAUUCAGAAAACUCCAUUGCAUCGUUCCUCAUCCAUUCUUUCUCCAUUAGUUCACCUUCACCCACUUCUUGUUCCUCAUUUUCUCCAGCGUUACUCGCCUUGAUCUUCAACACAAGACUUCUUGGCUCCGCGCACCCACCAACAUGAUGUGCCAAUGCUUCUCGCUUCAAAGCAACAACACCUUGUUCCAGAAUCACACACUCUUCAUUAUUUUGUAGAUCUGCCCAAUAAAGCAUAAACAUGCAUGCAUAAUAGACGAAUUCAGCAAGAAAUCUAGUAAUUUUUUUCUCAAAACAAGAUCUAUUACAUAACUCGGAUGGGAAUGUAGUGGCUUAUCGUGAGGGUGAUGCACUCAUGGACUUGUAGUAGAGCUGGUAGCUGCCACGACAGCUUCCCUAUAUGUGGGUGGCCUUGAGGCAGGCGUCGUGGAGGGGCAUCUCUCCUCCAUCUCCUAUUAGGUCACAUCUAUGGAGUCCCUCAGCGUCUACCAUGACGUUGCUAUCAGGUCCCAUGGCUAUGGCUACUUCAAGUUCCACUCACAGAAUGAUGAUGAGAUCUGAUCUAUUAGAUCCCCAAAUACCUAAAGCAUUAUAUCUCUCUGAGCAUGCAUGCUAAAGGUAGCAUAUCAAACCCAAACGAAUAAGUAAAGAAGACCAAGACACUCACCAUCCUCUUGGGGGUGGAAAUCGAUGUAGCCGUAGCCACACGACCUGUAAGCAACUUUGUGGUAGAUGCGCAAGGAAGCCACGGGCGCGACCUGGUCAUAGAUCUAGAAGAGUUGCCCCUCCGUAACACCUGCCUCGGGGUCAUCAUUGAGGCCAGGAAUGGCUGGUUUGUCAUUGCUGCCGAUGGUCGCCAACCCAAUGGAUCUAGGAGGCGGCG
This 60313-nucleotide long non-coding RNA is filed under the name Triticum aestivum (bread wheat). RNAcentral's name for it is "long non-coding RNA (TAES_LNC016888)". The record is from RNAcentral. Lineage: Eukaryota; Viridiplantae; Streptophyta; Magnoliopsida; Poales; Poaceae.